CCAUAGAUACAAGCCUCUUGCUUGAGUUUGCUGCAGCAACUCUACUCUUCUUCAUCACCCGCUUCUUCAUUCGUUCUCUCCUUCCCAAACCUUCCCGGAAGCUCCCCCCUGGCCCCAGAGGGUGGCCGCUCCUCGGCGCUCUUCCUCUUCUAGGUAACAUGCCUCAUGUUGCAUUAGCAAAGAUGGCCAAAAGAUACGGGCCUGUCAUGUUCUUGAAAAUGGGCACUAACAGCAUGGUGGUGGCCUCAACUCCCGAGGCGGCUCGGGCUUUCCUUAAAACGCUAGACAUUAAUUUCUCUAACCGCCCGCCUAAUGCCGGUGCCACACUCUUGGCCUAUCAUGCCCAAGACAUGGUUUUUGCGGAUUAUGGGGCAAGGUGGAAGCUACUGAGAAAGCUAAGCAACUUACACAUGCUUGGUGGGAAAGCUCUUGAGGACUGGUCUCAGGUCCGAGCUGUUGAGCUAGGCCACAUGCUUCGAGCCAUGCUUGAGUUAAGCCAGCGAGCGGAGCCGGUGGUGGUGCCGGAGAUGUUAACUUUUUCCAUGGCCAACAUGAUAGGUCAAGUGAUUCUAAGCCGCCGGGUGUUUGAAACAAAAGGGUCGGAGUCAAAUGAGUUCAAGGACAUGGUGGUGGAGCUCAUGACCACUGCUGGGUACUUCAAUAUUGGCGACUUUAUUCCGUCCAUCGCAUGGCUGGACAUCCAAGGGAUCCAGCGCGGGAUGAAGCAUUUACAUAGGAAGUUCGACCGGUUAUUAACAAAGAUGAUGGAGGAGCACACGGCGUCAGCCCAUGAGCGAAAGGGAAACCCAGAUUUUCUGGACGUAAUCAUGGCAAACCAAGAAAAUUCUACAGGGGAGAAGCUCACUAUUACCAACAUUAAAGCACUCCUCCUGGUAUGCAUAGUUAAAGCUCGUCUUCAAUUUUGUUUUCCGAUAUUUUCUUUCCGGAAACAGCACUUUUAUUGCUUUUAGAUAUGUACGUUUUUAUCAGGUAGCCAUUUUAGGGGCACAUCACUAUUCUUUAUUUUUGGACUAUUUUUUUCUUUUUCCACUUGCAUGGUUGUUUUCAUAUGCUCAGCUGCAUGGCACAAGAAAAUUGUGAAAAAUGAUUGGUUCUCUGAUCAGACCUUCAGCACCAAAACACGCUUUUCUCUAUGUUAUAAAAUCGGUUUACAUGAUUUUUCAACCAGCUUCCUUGAACUUGAACUUUUGCUAGGGCUAAUGCAAAAAAUGAUUGAUCUCAAUUUUCAAUAGCGUUUGAUUACAUAAAUUUCAAGUAUGUGAACAUAUUUUUGUUUCCUUGGCUAGAAUUUAUUUACUGCAGGAACAGACACUUCAUCGAGCGUAAUCGAGUGGUCUCUGGCUGAGAUGUUGAAAAACCCGAGCAUCCUCAAGCGUGCUCACGAAGAAAUGGAUCAAGUGAUUGGAAGGAGCCGGCGGCUCGUGGAGUCUGACUUGCCAAAACUUCCAUACCUACAAGCCAUAUGCAAGGAAAGCUUCCGGAAGCACCCAUCCACACCACUGAACCUUCCUCGUGUCUCAACCCAGGCAUGUGAAGUGAACGGCUACUACAUCCCAAAGAACACUAGACUUAGUGUGAACAUAUGGGCAAUCGGGCGAGACCCUGAUGUCUGGGAAAGCCCGGAAGAAUUCAGGCCAGAAAGGUUUUUAAGUGGAAGAAAUGAAAAAAUUGAUCCUCGUGGAAAUGAUUUUGAGUUGAUCCCGUUUGGGGCUGGACGAAGGAUUUGCGCUGGCACUAGAAUGGGAAUAGUGCUGGUUGAGUACAUUUUAGGGACGUUGGUACAUUCAUUUGACUGGAAAAUGCCGGAUGGAGUUGAGAUCAACAUGGACGAAGCUUUCGGGCUUGCGCUGCAGAAGGCAGUUUCUCUUUCGGCCAUGGUGACACCAAGGCUUCACCAGAGUGCGUAUGCAGUCUGAGCUCAAACCGCUCAGACCAAAACCCAGGCCUCGCUGCUAUAUGGCAUGGAUGCAGUUAAGUAGAAAAUAUUUUGGGAUUUUUGCCUGUGGCUUAGUAUAAGAUGUAUUAGCUCAAAGAUGGUCGUUUCAUUCUACCACCAAGCCAUAUGCAUCUAUGCAUAAUCUAUUGAUUUAGGCUCGAUUUGGUUAUAGUUUUUGUUUUUUUGUCUUCCAAAUCAGUAAAUAGUAGGGGUAUUUUUGUCCUAUGUAGUGAUUCUUUUUGUUUGAUUGAUUAUAUUUGGAUCCUUCAAAAAUAUACGGUCAGAGCCAUCUCCAUCUUUUCACUUCUUGUGCUGCAGAAUGGGAUUGGCUUAGAUCGUUAGUCUAAUGUUAACCCCCUUCAAAUCUAAUUAUUCAUACUCAAUUUUGACACGAAAGAGCCAUUGUCAUGAAAGGGGGACCAGGGACCUCAGCACCCUUGGUUCAUCAUUUUGGUACGAUGCCAACUCUACCACAUAACCACCAUUUAGAUAUCUAUCCUUUUAUUUUUGGCAUGUGAACUUAUAGUGGGUGGCUGACCUUGAAUCCAAUAGUUAUCAUGAUAUAUAUGGCUGAAAUUAACCAUCAUUUAGAUAUCUAUCCUUUUAUUUUUGGCAUGCGAACUUAUAGUAAGUCCGAUUUAUGUCCAAGGGUCAAAUUUAAAUCUCUCUUCAAUCUAAUGGCUAAGAACUUCCCAACUUUAUUUAAUACUUAAUGUAUCCAAUAAUUGUAAUCGAGUAAUCCAAUGACAAGUACCUUCAAUGAUUAUUUUGGCAAAAGAAAUAAUAUAAGUUUGUUAUUUUAUGAUAUAAUAAAUUUAUUAAUACUUUCCUUUUUCAAAAUAUGUAAUUAGUUGUAAUUUCAUUAUAUAAUAUAUAAAUUAAGUUAUUUGCAAUUUUAAAAUAUGCUCAUUUUGUAUUUUUUUAAGUGUUAAUUAAAAAUUAUACAAUUUUGUUUUAUAAAAAGUAUUUAGUACUUUUAAUUUUAUAAAUUACAAGCAUUAAUUUAUACUAUUUUCUUAAAAUAUUUAGUUUAGUAUGCAUAUUAUUAGUUGUUUUCUUACAUCACUACUACAAAAAUAAUAUAUGAUGUCACUAUUUAUAGUGUCGCAUUUAAAAUAAUGACACCAUUGAACUUAAAAUUUAUAAAGGUGACACAUCAUUUAAAAAAUCUUCAAUUAGGAUAGUUAGAUUAUGCUAAUUUCAGAUUUACGGUGUCAUUUUUUGGAAGUGACACCAUAUGAAAUAAAAAGUUUUAAAUUUUAUAACUCAAUGGGCCUUUUUUAAAAAUAGUGAGUAGGAACAAUUUAUGAAAAGUCUAUUGUUUCCAUAUAUACAUUAACUAAUAUAAAAGAUCUUGUUGCUUGACCCUAACCAUCGUUUUCUUCUCCUUCUUCUCACACCCAUGGUCAGCACACCCAUAAUUGAUAUUCUUUGCUUCGUAAAAUCUCGGGUAAGUCAAAAUCUCUUAUCUAUCAUCUUUAUUUUUUUUAUUAAUGCAAAAAACUUUGUUAGUAUAAUUGUUUUAUAUCUCUUGAUUUAGUAUAUCUAUGAUGUGGGUUUUGUAAAUGGUGUUUUUUAUCGAGUUCUAAGGAAGUAAAAACUAAGUUUAACAUUCUAACAUAUUUUUUGUUUCAUUGCUAAUAAGCCCCAAAACAAAUGAAAACAAGAAAAAUGAAUUAUUUUUAAAAAAUUUGUCUAAUUGAGAAUGAGAGAUACACUAGUUUGUAGUAAUUUUUCGCAUGAAAUAGUAUUUUAUUGAAGACUUGACUAUAUUUGAUACUUUUUUCCACCGUGCUAGGAGCUUUUUGGUGAAGUCUAACAAUAGAGAUUGAUAUCUGCUACAAGAUGAUACUCAAUUAAACCAAAAGCACUUAAGUUAUUUAGGGUUUUCUUCGGUUAACCUAAGAAAACAUUCCCACUUUCUUUGUAUUGAGUCAUCUAAAUAGAAUAGAAUAUUGGGUAUCAGAGUCGUAAAUGGUAUUAUAAAUAUGACUUUUUUUUUAGAGUCACCUACAUGGAAUGAAUUAUUGGUAGGUGAACAAAAUAUUGGGGUGAUUGUAAUAGUUGAAUUAGUAAAUGGAAGAUAAGUGUAUGUUGCUUUGUUUAUUCUAUAAAAACAAUAAUUUUAGUAGUUGAAAUUUACAUGCUUUGUUGUUUUAUAAAAACAAUAAUUUUAGUAUUUGAAAUUUUAAAAUGUGAAUGAAAUGCCUGAAAAUAUAUUUUGAAAAAUAGGAUAGUAAUAAAUGGAAAAUAACUCAUUUCCUAAAAAUAUUUUGAUAAAUUAAAAUAAUAUGUGGUUAAAAUAUAUUUUUGUGAAAGUAUUUAAAAAUGAAUCAAAAUAUAAAUAAUUGUUAUUUUUUUUUAAAAUAAUUUAGGAAUAUAAAAUAAUAUUGGGGAUAAUUUUUGAGUUUAAAUUGUGUUAUAAAUGGUUAAUUUUUUUAGGACUGUCCUUUUUGAAAAUAAUCCAAUGAUAAUUUUUUUAAAUAAGAAUGUUGAAACUAAUUUUAAAAAUAAAAUUUUGUUGGCAAUGAUUUUUCUAAAAGUAUUUUAGGCAUAAAUGGAAAUUUCUUGUAUGAAAAUAAGAGAAUUUAUAUAUAUAUAAUAGACAUAAAAAUAGAUUUCUUUGAUAUUUAAUAAACAAGUGAAUUUUUCUCUAAAAAAAGAAUAAAAUAAGAAUUUCUCUAUAUAAUAAAAUAAUUUAUAUAUGAGAUAGUUUUCAAUAAGAAAGUUUUGAAAAUAAAUUUGGGAUAAAAUAUUUUUUAGUAAGUUUUGUUUAGAUAAUUCAAGAAUAAAGUGGUUUAUUAACUUUUCUUAAAAAAUAACAUUCUUCUUUCUUUUUUGAAUUGAUCAAUAGUUUGGAAAUAAAAUUGUUAGAUUCUAUUUUUUGUAAAUGUUUAAGAUAUUCUAAAAAAUUCUUUAAAAAUGAAAUGACCUUUCUACCACAUUCCUUUAAUAAAUAAUUGUAUUUUUAUACAUAUUGUAAAGUAAAAAAAAAAGUCUUUAUUUAGUUAACCUAAGAAGACAUUCCUACUUUUCUUUGUGUUGAGAGUCACCUAAAUGGAAUAAAAUAUUCAAUAUCAUAGGAGAGUAAAAAGUAUUGUAGAAAUGAUUUUGUUGAGAGAGUUAUCUAAAUGGAAUGAGAUAUUGGUAGGUGAAUAAAAUAUUAUGGUGAUUGUAAUAGUUGACUUAGUGAGUGGAGGAGAAGUGUAUGCUUCUUUGUUUAUUCUAUAAAAACAAUAAUUUUAGUAGUUGAAAACGUGUAUGAAAUGACUGAAAAUAUUUUUUGAAAAAUAAGAAAAUAAUAAAUGGAUAAUAGCUCAUUUCCUAAAAAUCUUUUGAUAAAUUAAAAUAACUUGUAGUUAAAAUAUAUUCUUAUGAAAGUAUUUAAAAAUAAACCAAUAUAUUAAUAAUUGUUAUUUUGUUUAAAAAUAAUUUAAUAGUAAAAAAAUAAUACUGAGUUCAAAUAUGACUACUUUGUUAUGAGAUUCAUUAAAGAAAUAAUUGUUGAUUUUACAGUUAUUGCAUCAAAGGUUUUACUCGUUUAAUGAAUUGUACAUAAUUUCAUACUUUCAAUUAUUAUGAUAUUAAUGUUAUUCUCAUUUGAUUUCAGUUUGAUUACAAAUAAAACAUAUUCUCAAGUAGAAUUUGAUGAAAUUAGAGAAAAAUAGAUUACUUUUGUGUUAUAACUAAUCAUGAAUCAUAUUGAUGUAUCGUGAUCAUUCAUGGUAAGUCCCUUAGUUGUUAUAUGAUUGAAUUUUCCAUUGAUAUUGUAUAACAUUACUUAUUCUUUACGAACUAUUUUUAUACCAAAAUGAGAAAAAGGAAAAAGAAAAAGAAAACAUUAGUACUUAGAUUUGUUUAUUGUUUAUAACAUCACAUUUUUAUUUUCAAUAAGAACUCUAAAACUCAUUAAUCUAUGAAAUGCAGGUAUACACUCUUGGGAGGACAAUAUGAAGAAUAAAAAGAAAGGAGAAAGAGACAACAAGAUUUAGGUUGUUAGAUAUGACUCUUAUGUCAUACAUUAUAGGACAUAAAUGUUACUUUAUUUGGAAUUGAGAAUUUUGGGUUUUUGGAUGCAACUCUUGUGUCAUUUUAUGGUUAGCCGGUUUUAUACAUAUGAAAUGCAAGUAUACAUGAAUGUUGGGAAACUUAACAUUUCUAAAUCAUGUUUUAAUGUGUAUUCACUUUUCUUUUUUAGUUUUGGUGGGUUUGAUGUGUUUGAUGUACUAUCAUUUUGUGAACAUUUGAUAUACAAAUAUUAUUGGAUGAUGUAAUAUGUUACAAAUUAAUUCAUAAGCAUUAUGAAAAUAUAAGUUAAAUGUAAUAUGAUUAUUAUAUUUAUGGACAAUUUACACAGGUUAGUCUUAUUUAUUAAUAAGCAUUACAAAAAUCUACAAACUAAUCAACAAAAAACAACCAUAUCUUCCAUAAUCAUUUACAAUGAUGUGACACCAUAAAUUAAAGGUGAUACAUUUAACGUGACACCAUAACUCAAAGAUGAUGCAUUUAAUAUGACACCUUAUAUAUCUCAUACAACUCUAUAUCAAAUUAAGCAUCACUAAAAAUAUAUGGUGUCUCUUCUGAAUGUGUCACCAUUUAUCUGCUUUGGUGUCGCUUCCAAAUACGUCACCAAUUGAUACCCUCUAUGGUGUCAGUGGAUAAGGUGACGCUAUGUUGUAGUGACACCCUAUGUUUAUAGUGACUUAUUAUAAAUGUCACCAUAUAUCUUUUUCCUUGUAGUGCAUCUCAAGUUUCAAUCAAAAAAAUAUUUAUGAUUUGUUUUUAUUAAUUUGUGUCUUGUUUUCAAUUUAAUUAAUGAAAAUUUAUUUGAUCAAAAAGUUCAUUACAAACCAAUUUUAAAAAUCUAAUCCUUUAUUAUAUUUUGAUAUCGUUUUGAUAAAAAUGUCUUUAUUAUUAUUAUUAUUUUUUUUUUUAUAAAAAUAAAUUUUUUUAUAAAUAUAUUGUAAAUAUUUAAAAUAAUUAAAAAUAUUUAGAUCAAAAAUCGAUUAUUUUUCAAACAAAUAUAUGAAAGUGAUAAAUUUGCAAAUAUGGGGAAUAUUUAAUCCUUUUAAUCGAUUAUUUCAUUAAUGAAGUGGGUAUAAUGAUGAACGCAUACUUGGUUUUACUAGGGCAUGCAGAGGUUUUGCAAGAGAGAGAGAUCAUUUCUCGACUCUGAGAAAUCAAUCUCCUUUUGGCCCGGUGGCGGACUCCAAGUAAAGCCUUGAAGGAGCCUUGCUAACAUCCCUGCACACCCACGCCUUCCAGUACUGAAGGAAAUGAAGCGAAGGUUUGGCUCGUUCAACUCCACUGCUUGAACUGUACUAGCAUUCAGAUGCCGCUCUGGAUUGAAAUUUAGCGGUUCUUCCCAGAUUCUAGGGUUCCGGCCCAGCCCCAGACGGCUCAGAAGGACAUGACUGCCUUUGGGGAUAGAGUACCCAGCAACACUAGUCGGAUUCCUGAACUCGUCUAUCCUUUCCAACCACUCCAUCAAUUUCUUCACUGCUUUGCUCAAAAUCCCUGGUUGCUUGAUCAUUGCCUACUCAAUUGCAUUUGAUGGACUAUCGACGCCUGCAAGCAUCAACUCCUGCAAAUUAUGGAAGGAUCAUAAUCUGAUGAUUGAUCAAGUUAUUUGCUGGCUAGGAAAUGAUCAUCAUGCAAUGUAGAUCAAAAGGUAAGCACAACACUACUACAAAAAUAAUUUAUGGUGUCAUUUUUAAAAUAAUGACACCAUAGGGUUUAUAAUUAAUAAAGGUGAUACAUCAUAUGAAAAUUCUUCAAUUAAGGUAGUUAGAUUAUGUUAGUUUUAUAUUUAUAGUGUUAUUUUUUGGGAAGUAACAUCAUAUAAAAUAAAUUUUUUUUUAAGUAUUAUAACUUAAUGAGCCCACUUUUAUAAUUAAUAAUGAGGGAUAAUGUAUAAAAAGCCCAUUGUUUCCACAUGCCACCCAUAAUCCAAAAAAUCUCAGUAUACAAACCUUAUAUAUAAAACCAUAAUCUUCUUCUACCUUUUCUCUUACCUAUAGUCAAUACACUUACAACCGACAUUUUCUACUUUGUGGACUCCUGGGUAAUCCAAAUUCUCUUAGAUCUAUCAUAUUUUUUUUUCUUUUAUUAAUAUAAUUAUAUUGAUUGUUUCACCAUCUUUGUAUUAUGGUUUUUGUAAACUGCGUUUUCUUGAGUUGUAGGGAAGAAAAACUUAGGUUUAAACUUCUAGCAUAGACGAAGAAACUUGUAGAUUAAUUGAUUUUUUAAUAUGAACCAAACACAUGACUGACUUCUUAAAAACAAGAAAAAAUGAAUGAUUUUUAAUAUGUAUUUAUGUGAGAAUGACAGGUACAAAAUUUUGUUGAGAUAUACUGUCACAUAAUCUUCAUCCCUUCCCUAAAACAAGAGAGAGAGAGAGAAAAAAAAAAAGGAAUGAUUUUUUUUGUGUGUAUCUAAGUGGGAAUGAGAUAUAUAGAAUUUUGUUGAGAUGCCACAUGAUCUUUAUCCUCCAUUAAACCCAACAUAUUAAAUCCACUAACUCUCCCCAAAAACGAGUAAAAAAAAAGGGAAAAAAGUAUGAGUUAAAAAACAAAAACGGAAAAUAUGAUUUAUUUUUUUUUAAUGUGUUUCUAAGGAAAAUGAGAGACACAAAUUUUUGUUAAGAUGCAUUGCCACGUGUUCUUCAUCCUCUCCAUUAAGCCUAAUAUAUUAAACCUAAUAGCUCUCUCUUUUAACUUUCCAGUGAAGUGCCUACAGUAUCCAACUCAAAAUAAGACAACUUAAGCCCCAUUAGCCAACAACCCAUAUUUUGUGUACAUCUUGAUGAGAUUAUUUUGUGAGAAAAUGUCAUGAAACAAUCCCAAUUUGAUAAUCUAGGCAUGUAUUUGAGUUAAAAAUAAAUUUCUAUUCUAUAGAUCAAAUAAUAAAAUCAUGUUUGAAAAUUAUUUUUAAAAACUUAUUUAGAGCAAAAAUAGUUUUCUAACAUAAAAAUAAUUUUUUAACUGAGAAAAUAUAUUUGAAAUUAUUUGAUAGAAAAUUGGGCAUGUAUUUGACUUAAAAACAAAUUUCUAUUCUAUAGCUCAAAUAAUAAAAUCAUGUUUGAAAAUUAUUCUUAAAAGCUUAUUUAGAGCAAAAAUGGUUUUCUAACAUUAAAAUAAUUUUUUAAUUUAGAAAAUAUAUUUGGAAACAUUUGAUAGAAAACUAGGCAUGUAUUUGACUUAAAAAUAAAUUAUUAUUCUAUAGAUCAAAGGAUAAAAUCAUGUUUGAAAAAUAUUCUUAAAAACUUAUUUAGAGUAAAAACAGUUUUCUAACAUAAAAAUAAAUUUUUAACUUAGAAAAUAUAUUUGAAAACAUUUGAUAGAAAACUUUUUUUUUAAUGUCAAUAAGUUGUCUUUUUGUUAAUUUAAUUGUAAUCAAUUUGCUUAUACGCAUUUAAAAGUAUAUAUUAUCAUAUUUAGUAAUAUUUUGAUUGUUAGGCAAAUUAUCAUUUUUGAGAGGAAUUUUUGUAGCUCUCAUAAUUAUAAUUGUAUUUUAAUAACCAUUUCCAAUAAAAAAGAAAAAGAAAAAAGAAGUUAGACAAUUAUCAAAAUCUGAUUUUUAGGAUUUUAAAAAAAUCUACAAGCCAAAACUAUCUAUAAUUUUGAUCAUGUGAGAACACUUCUUUUUUAAUACUUUGAAUUAUUUUGUUUUUUUUUUUCUUAGUAUCUGAAAGUAUAAAAGAAUUUCUCUUAUUAUAUUAUUAUAUUAUAUAUGUGCAUGUGUGUUCUCAUGGUUUCUUUAUGUCAUGUCUUAUUAAAGAAUAAAGUGAUGAAAUUUCCUUUGAGUAGAAGGUUUUAGUCCACGCUAGUGAGUGGACACGGUAUGAAUAGUUUGGGUGGGUUGUAUCUAUGGUAAAAAAUAAUAAAAGAUACCUUUUGCAAGUCUCCAAGUUGGUUGAGAUACAUGGCAUCAUGUUGACUAAACCUUGACUUUUGCAAGUCUCCUAGUUUCCAACUUUUUUUUUUCUUUUUUUUUUAAUAUUAAGGUGUGGGGCCAUGAACUCCUUUCUUUCCUUUUUAAAUAACAAAAAGGAAGAUAAUUUUAUUGUGAGAAGGCUAUUUCUAUCAAUUGUGUUCACGUCGAGAAUUUUUUAAUUUAUGGAGGCCAAAUAUAUAUUUAUGUCUAAUUUAGGAGGGUAAUUUGGGUUUGUUUAAUCUAUUCCAUUUAAUCAUACUAUACAAUCAUUUUUUUAUUUGGAUUAUUUUUGUAUUAAAUUUCUUCAACCCAAAUUUUGUUGAAAAAUUACAAUGUAUUAUUAAAAAUAUGACUUGAUAGUUGAUUAUGGACAUGUGUCAUUUUUAGUAAAAAAAAAAAUCUAUAACAUUUUAUAUUGAUAAUAUAUUAUUCUUGUAACAGGUUCGAAUAGUAAGCAAGUCAUUAUCAAAGAAGUUAUUGAAAGUAUAAGUGUACGUUUAUUUAUUGCAUGCUCUUAUAUUGUAUCAAUUGUAAGGAAGAUAAAAUUACCUUGUAAAGGUAAUUAAAUCUUUCUAUAUUUUAAAAACUUUUUUCCUAUAUACUAUGCUUUUGAAGCUUGUUUAAUUAAACAUAUUAGUUAUUUGACAAACUUUUCACAAAUGUUUUGUAUACUUAUGUGUUCUAUUUUGUUCCAUAGUUUUAUCGCAUAAUACUAAUGUAUAUUUUUUCACAAACUUUUUACAACUAUUUUGUGUACUAAUGCAUAUUAAGUUUUGUUCUUGCCUAUAUAAGCUACAUUUAGUUAUUUAAAUAUAUCCAAUAUUAUGUUGAAGAAAGAUGUACUUAACUUUUUUUAUUCUAAAUAUUAACAAGUUUUAUAGUUCUCUUGUCUUGAGAUUGAAUGUCAAAAGAUAGAAGGUCAGUUGAGUAUGAUGAAAGAGUUGAAAACUUUAUCAAUUUUGCAUUAGCACAUUCAAUCAACCAUUCCCCUAUAAAAUGCCCAUGCUUACGUUGUGCAAAUCUAUUAUGUCAAACUCUUCAAGUCAUUACAGAGCAUUUGUUCUUUAAUGGAAUAGAUCUCAGUUAUCGAGUAUGGUAUUGGCAUGGAGAAAAUGGACCCAGUGGAGGAUUUUCAAAUGUCUCACAACAACAUUAUGACAAAUGCAAGUAUAAUGAUGUUGUUGACACAAUAGAUAUGGUUAAUGCUGCACAAGUUAAUUGUGUGAAUGAUCCCUAAGUGUUUGGAAGGUUACUUGAAGACGCAAAAAAACCUUUAUAUCUUGGAUGCAUGAAAUACACAAAGUUGUCAGCAUUGGUAAAACUUUACGACUUAAAAGCACGUUAUGGUUGGUCUGACAAAGGAUUCUCAAAAUUGCGUCAGUUGCUUGGAGAUAUGUUGCCAUUGAAUAAUGAGAUGUCAUUGUCCAUGUAUGAAGCUAAAAAGACUUUCAGUGCACUUGGGAUGAAUAUCAAAAAAUUCAUGCAUGUUCUAAUGAUUGUAUUUGGUAUAGAAACCAGUAUAAGGAUGCUAUUGCAUGCCUAACUUGUGGAAAGUCAAGGUGGAAGAUAAACAAUGAGGGGAAAAAGAUUAAGAAGGGGCUUCCUUCAAAGGUUUUGUGGUAUUUCCCACCAAUCCCUAGAUUCAAAAGGAUGUUCCAAUCCUCAAAAAUCGUUAAACAUCUUAUGUGGCAUGCCAAGGAUAAAGAAUAUGACGGUAAACUAUGCCACCCAUCAGACUCCUCAGCGUGGAAACUAGUUGACCAUAUGUGGCUUGAUUUUGCUUCUGAACCGAGAACCUUAGACUAGCACUCUCAACAGAUGGUACAAAUCUUCAUAAGUCUAUAAGCAAUAGACAUAGUUGUUGGCCUGUUAUACUGAUCAUAUACAACCUUCCUCCUUGGUUGUGCAUGAAAAAGAAGUUUAUGAUGCUAUCAUUAUUGAUCUCAGGACCACGACAACCUGGUAAAAAUAUAGAUGUUUACUUGAGUCCAUUGGUAGAUGACCUUAAAACUUUGUGGGAAAAAAAAGUUGAGACUUAUGAUGCACACUUGCUUGAGGUUUUUACUUUAAAGGUCAUCAUUUUAUGGACAAUCAAUUAUUUCCCUACAUAUGGAAACUUGGCCAAUUGCACCGUGAAAGGAUAUUAUGCAUGUCCAAUAUGUGGAGAAGGAACAUAUUCCCAAAGAUUAAAGUAUGGUAGGAAGAACUUGUAUAUGGGUCACCGACGAUUUCUUCCACGUAACCAUCCCUAUUGGAGACAAAAGAAGGCAUUCAAUGGUGAACAAGAUUUUAGAAUUCCUCCUAAAAUUUUGAGUGGAGAAGAAAUACUUGAAAAAGUUGAUCUCAUUCCUAUUUCUUGGGGAAAAAUGAAGAUAAAAUCUCUUGAACUGAUGUGAACACAAAUUAUUGGAAAAAAAAGUCCAUAUUUUUUGAGUUAGAAUAUUGGAAAUAUCUUCAUAUCCUUCACAACUUAGAUGUCAUGCACAUCGAAAAGAAUGUCUGUGAGAGUAUUAUUGGUACUUUGUUUAACAUCCCAGGAAAACAAAAAGAUGGACUUAAUGCUCAACUUGACCUAGUUGAAAUGGGUUUAAGGUCUGAACUUUUCCCAAGAGUUGACUUGAAGCGGACCUAUCUUCCCCCUGCAUGUUAUUCACUAUCCAAACAUAUAUGACAAAAAAUUAGUUUGUCAAACAUUGUCUAAUUUGAAGGUCCCUGAGGGGUAUUGCUCAAAUUUUAGAAAUCUUGUCUCCUUAAAGGAAUUGAAGUUAUUUGGUUUAAGAUCCCAUGACUACCAUGCACUUAUGCAACAACUAUUGCUAGUGGCAUUACGUUUUGUUUUGCUAAAGCAUGUGAGAUAUACUAUAUCAAGAUUGUGUAUCUUCUUCAAUCAAUUAUGUACAAAAAUGGUUGAUGUGCCAAAAUUGGAUGAAGUACACAAUGAGUUAGUGGUCACGCUGUGCUUACUUGAAAAGUAUUUUUCACCUUCAUUUUUUGAUAUUAUGCUUCAUCUAGUAGUGCAUUUGAUAAGGGAGGUGUGACUAUGUGGUUCAGUUUACUUUAGGUGGAUCUACCCAUUUGGGAGGUAUAUGAAAGUUCUUAAAGAAUUGUUCGCAAUCAUAAUUGGCUUGAAGGAUGCAUUACUAAGUGCUAUUUAACAGAAAAAGCUAUUGAAUUUUGUACUGAAUAUUUAUUAGGGACUCAUGCAAUUGGAAUUCCAAAAGCAACAAUUAUGACAACAAAUUUGGUAGACCUAUAAUUGGUGGUCGUUCUACCAUCAUUGAUCAUAAAUUGUGGUUACAAGCACAUCAUUAUCUAUUAGAGAAUACAACUAUCGUCCAACCAUACACUGAGUAAGAAAAACAUACCUUUAUCUUUUUAUAAUUUCAUAACAUAAUGAUGAAAUCCUAAGUUUGCAUUCCUUGUCUUUAACGUCAUAAGGAACACAUGAAUUGGUUGAGGUCUCAAUACCCUCGACAAUCUAAUAGACAAAUUUGGUUGCAAGAAGAACAUAUGAGUUGUUUUACAUAUUGGCUUAAAGAAAAGGUAAUCUCUUAGUUUUUAGAAAAUUUUUCAAUAUGUUGAAAACAUCACAAGUUUCCAAUAUGUUUUGAUUAUACAUAGGUUGAAGAGGCUAUCCAUAAUGGGCAAGAUAUUCCCGACACACUUAGGUGGUUAGCACAUGGCCCUACUCUCCAGGUAGUCAAAUAUCCUGGAUAUAUCAUUAAUGAGUGUUGUUACCAUAUUAAGAAACGCGAUAUGACAUGCAUCACCCAAAAUAGUGGUGUUUUUAGCAAGACUAUGCAAAUUGCUAGUUCUAAGGAUAAGAACCUAGUUUGUGGUGAACUUUGCUUUUAUGGGGUCAUUAAUGAGAUAUGAAAUCUUGAUUACAACAUGUUCACAAUUCUAAUUUGCAAGUGUGAUUAGGUUGACAACAAGAAUGGUAUAAAAGUUGAUGAACUCAGGUUCACAUUAGUUGACUUCUCCAAAAUAGGUCACAAAUUGGAUCCAUUUAUUUUAGCAUCACAAGCCAAGCAAAUCUUCUAUGUUGAAGAUCAACUUGAUCCUAAAUGGUCAAUAGUUCUCUCAAUUCCUCCAAAAGAUUUCAAGAACAUAGAAGGACUAGAUGACUUCACCGAUAAUUGCAUGGAACAUCACCCCUUUAUAAGUUCAAUGCCAGAAUUUGAAUCAUUUGAUGCUAUGGAUGAAUCAUAGGCAAUACACAUGAGAGAAAACUGUGAGGGCAUAUGGAUUGAAAAGAAUUAAAUAACAUAUUGUACCCUUGAAUGAGAUAUAAUAAGGCAUUUCACUUAUUAGUUUUCAUGAGUUGCACAUUAACUUAGCUUCUAUAUAUUGCUCAUGAUAUAUCUAUAUAUAUUAAUCAUCCUAAAUUUCUUUCAUGCAUCAUAAACAUAUGUUAUUCAAAGGUACCACUUCAAUCUUCAUUCAACUAUCUUUUUGUUGUCCAUAGAACUAGAUUUAUAUUAUUUUUUAUUAUCAUGUUUUGAUUUUAUGCUCACAUAACUUGAAACUCUCAUUCCUAAAUUUCUUUUUCAUUAAAACUAUAAAUCAUAAUUGAAACUAUGCACUAAUUUAUUUUAUUAUUAUCCUCACAAAUAAAUUCUUCAUUAUUGAUAAGAAAUCAAAAAACAAGACAAACUUUGAAAGAAAAUUUCAAAAAAUAUAUUUGUGAAUGACCAAUUUAAUUAUAGAAAAUAUAUGCAAGGCUAUACUAAUCUUGCUUUUGAGUCAUUUUACAGGUUUGUUGGUGAAGUACUAGUUUGCACAUUUACUUGAUAUCUUCCACACAAAUAUGGAUCUAGAAGAAGGGGAAAUGCCAAAAAUAAAGCAUAGAUGUAGUGCAUUGAAACCAAAGAUUGCAAAAAAUCAAAGUAAAGGGAUAAAACUCAAGAUUGAAUACAAUAGCCUUGGUAGUCCCAUUAAGGAAAAUUCAGUUAAACUAAGUAGUUAUCUUAGUACAAUAACUAGAACCCAUGUGCUAAUAAUUAUUGAGAGUUGGAGGAAAGUCCCUAAAGAGACUAAGGAGAAGUUGUGGGAUUUGAUCACAGUAAGCCUAUCUAUAGCUUUAAUAUAUAAUUAUUGUAUACAUUCAUUAACAUGAGCUAAUAUGGGUUGUUAUUUUGUAGACAAGCUUUAAUGUGAAUAAAAAAUCCAAGAGGAAUUGUUUCAUACUAAUGGGCAUCAGGUUUCGAACCUUUAAGUACAAGUUGACAAAGAAAUAUAUAUUGUCUUUCAAGAAUGACCAAAAAAGCUGAAAAAGUCACCUCCUAUUUACCCAUUCAUACAAGAGGAUCAUUGGAGACAGUUUGUUAAAGAUAGACUUUUUGAACAUUUUAAUGUUAAGCAUUAUUUUUAUUACAUCUUCAAUUUUCACAUUUACGUAGUUUCAUUAUGUACUAAUUUUGUGUCUAUAUUUUGUAGGAAUAUCGCAAAGUUUAGAAAUCAAGAAGAGAUAAACACAUUUACAAUCAUUAUCUUGGAAGAAAAUGAUAUGCACGUUUUGAGCAAGAUAUAGUAAGUUAUCAAUAUCCAUAAAAAAAAUGGAGUAUAUAUUUUGUUUAUAGGAAAAUGAUUCUAGUUUUUAAAUAUCAUUUAUUAACUUGAUCAUGUUGAACUAAUGAGUUUUAUUGUUAAAAUUUUUAUAGCUACAAGCAGAAGGGGCUAUUGGUAGGGUUGAUAGAAGUGUUUAUGAAAGAAAACACGUGAGAAGAAAGGAAAGUUUAAUAAGAUUACAAAGCUAAUGAUUAACUAAGUUAGCAUAUUUAUGCCUUUUAGAGCCUAUAGUGUUAGUAUGUCUAUGUGAUUAUGGUUUGGGAUGAUAUCGUUAGGUGUUAAUAGGGAAGAGGCUUAAUGCUAUCAUUUUUAUGAGUAGUCAUGUUAUAUUAGUGCAAAUAUAGUAGCCUAAUUUGAAAAUUAAUUUUGAAACAAUAUACAUUAAUUUAUCUAUUAUCAUUUUUAUUAAAACAAUUCAUUUUCUAGCUACCUUGAAUUGGUCCUCUUGAAUUGGUUGUCUUUGAUUGAUAUGUUAAUCAUCUUCAUCAAAUUAUUACUAAUAUAUGUUUUGUUGUAGGAUGAAUUACUAGAAAAGGCAAGGAGACUGGACUACCUCCACUUGGUCCAAAUGACAUAUUAUGUCAGGCAUUGGGUAAGCUUGAUCAUCUAGGACGUGUGGUAGGUCAAGACCGCUUGGUUAGGUCGAACUCAUACUUUCAUCAACCAUUUGAUGACAUGAAAAAAAAAAUCAAAGAAGAAAUAUGGGAAAUGGUGUGAAAGGGGAUGCAAGAUGCUGUAACAAGACAAACUAUGUCUCCUCCCACACCCCAUUCUGAUAUAGGUAGUAAUAACAUGAGACAACAACUUGUUUUACAACUAGUUGUAGCAAAAAAACCAAUGUUUAAAAUGAUGGAAGAGCCCCAACCACCAGAACCACCACUGAAACGUAAGGUAUACAUUUACUUACUAAUAAUACAAGAUUAAUAUAAGUGAUAUAUAGCCUAUGUAAAUGAUAUUAUUUGUUGUAUUAAAGGUGAUUAAAUAUAAAUUAGCAGUGGAAUGAAAAUGAAAUGUUGUUGCAACUGGUACAUUAAUAGAAGAAAAUUGAUCAAAUGGGUUGGUCGUAAUAAAUGUUGCACACAAGCUAGAUGCUAGACUUCCAUUUCCAAAUCCAUAUGAGAUUAUCAAUGUUGGGGAUGCUAUUGGCUUUAAGCUUGACUGGCCAACAAGCCUUGUCAUACUUGAAACUAAACAUCCUCGGGUAUGUCAUUUUAUACUUGUAGUAAAUUUGAUUGUAACUUGGUAUUUUAUUGUUUAGGAGUAUAUAUUACUAACAUUCCUUCAUUUUUCAUAGGUGUUGGAUAAAGGAAAGAAGUAGAUAGUGAAUGCACCAAUUAUUCGAAAAUCUAAGCCUCAAAAUUAUUCGGUCAUUAAAAAUUUUCAGAAAUUUAUGGAUGGUUGUCUUAGUAAUGAGAAGACAUACCCAAUACAGCUCCCCAUUUCACUAUUUGGUGUCGAAUUCCGAACAUAUAUAUCUAGAGAGGAUUGUGAAUACAUUAUUUCAUCUUCAGAGGUGUUAUCAAAAUGCAUCUCCUUCCAUUUAUGGUGUGCACCUUUUAUUUUCAUUUGUUUUUAUUUUUUUAAUAUGAGUUGCCCCUGUUGAACAAGAUUGGAUAUGACUAAUGAUAAUUUUCUUUUGGUGUUUUGAUAAUAUAAUAGGUACAUGCAUGAUCAACUACAUAUUGCCAAAAAGGAAUCACAAUUUAUAUUUGUUAAUCCUUUUACAAUAUCAUGAGCAGGCUUUAGUAAUCCUCAAAUAGAGAAAAGAACACAAUUGUUGUCAAAACACUUAAUAGAGUGCCAAGAUGUCAGAUAUGUUUUCAUGCCCUACAACCCCGAGUAAGUGACGAAUAUUAUACUUUAAUUUGAGGUUUUAUGAUUGAUUUAUAUUUCUAAUUAGAUGCUACUUUUGUUUUUAAUGUUUUAGCUUUCAUUGGGUCUUGGUAGUGAUUGAGCCAAGGAAAAUGAUAGUCCACUAUCUUGACCCUGUGCAUCACAAACCAUGUGAGGACUUAAAGGAUAUCGUAAACAUGUAAGUUCUUCCUAUUAUUUUUCAUAGUAUUAUUUAAAAAAAAAAAUUACAUUCACCUCAAACACAUUUUUUAUUGUUAUUUCUAUAUAUUAAAACAUAUAACAUUUACCUAUUUUAAAAUUGUACCCAUUGAACUUAUUUACAUAGGGCUCUUUAAAUAUUUGCAAAGAAAACAUCUAAGAGAGAGCCAUCUUGGCAACUAGUGCAAGUGACAUCCAAAAAUUUUCUUUAAACAUUUAGCUUAUGCAUUUGCACCAUUUAUAUAUAUGAGUACUAAUGUUAUUUAUAACUGAUCCAUUAGUGUCCAAGACAAGAAGGAGGGUUCGAAUGUGGCUACUUUGUUAUAAAAUUCAUUAAAGAGAUAAUUUUUUAUCCUACAAUGAUUGCUUCAAAGGUAUUACUUAUUUAAUGAAUUGUACAUAUUUUUAGGCUUCCAAAUGUUAUGCAUUUUAAUGUUAUUUUCUUAUUUGAUUUUAGUUUGGUGAUAAAAAAACAUAUUCUCAAGUAGAAUUCAAUGAAAUUAAAGGAGAAUUGACUACUUUUGUGCUACAACUAAUCAUGAAUCAUGUUGAUGCAUCAUGAUCACCAUGCAUGGUGAGUCCCUUAGCUACUACAUGAAUUUUUCCAUAGAUAUUGUAUAGUAUUGCUUUUCUUUGAACAAUGUUUUUAUUUGAAAAAAAGAAAAAAAAAGUUCUUAGAUUUGUUCAUUUAUGAUAACAUCGAUCCAUAUUUAUUUUCUUCAAUGAAAUCUAUAAAACUCAUUAAACUAUGAAAUGCAGGUAUACACUCUUAGGAGGGUGGAAUAGAGAAUAAAAAGAACAAAGAAGGCAACAAGAUUUUGGGUUUUUAAAUACAGCUUGUAUGUCAUACGUUGAAGGACAUAAACGUUACUUUAAUUGGUAGUGAGAAUUUUAGAUUUUUAGAUGCUACUUUUAUGUCAUUUUCUUGUAGUGCAAAUUACUUAUCUUACUAUGCAUUGGGCUUUGAUAUUAGCCAAAGAUAGUAGUGGCUCCUAAUUUUUAUCCUUAACUGAAAUGAAAACAUCAAGCAGGUCCCCAGCCUCUUUUUCGCCAUUCUUCCACUAUUCUACUAUUUGGUCCAUGAUUGGAUCAUGGUACUUGUUAAUGGUGUUCAUAGCCUCCCUUAUAGUUUUUUCAUGGCCAUCUAAAUUCAGCACUCUCUGCCAUGGGAAGUAAUCAGAUAAAGAGAAUACAUAUAGAUGAGCAAGUAUAGUAAAGAAGGAUUCAACAUGUUGCUCCACUUCAACUCCAGGGCCUCCAUCUUUCUUUCGUUGGCCAAAGUAUCUUGUGUUGAGGAUCAUCUUUCAGAUGACAUUCCCGUUGUAUUGACGGACUUUAUUUCUGUCACACCCCAAAUACUAGGCAACCCAGAACUUGACUCGUGACCCUAGGUCAAAUGUUUGACCCUAAGAGUUACUCUUAUCCAUGUUGGCAAUCAAUCAAAACACCCUGGAUUUUUUUUCUUUUCAAUAAAGCGUUUAAUCCUAAAUAAAUUUAUUAAGCUAAGAUUUACUAUAACAUAUCAUUUUAUUUUUCCAAAACUAACCAUCACAUUAUCUCCUGUUCACAAGUAUUAAAAAAAAAAAAAAUUCCACCAAUCAUCUUCUUACCCAAAAUCUCAAAUAUUUACUAUAAUCUCUAAGUCAAAAAGAAUAUUUCCAAAAAUGUUUUACAAACUAAUAAAAUAUAAUUUAACUUAAAAAAGUCCAUAUAACUCAAAUUAGUAGAUGUCAAAAAGGUAAUUAAAAAAAAACAACCAUUAUUAUGGUUUUUUUGCUUUUUAGAACACUUCAUGAUCUUCUUAUGGUCCCUUAGAAACUAUAUCUGCAUCUAAAAAUUUUAGAAAAUAAAGGGAUGCACAUUUCCACGUUACUCUUUAGACCUAAAUGGGUUAGAAAUUCUAAGUCAAUAAAACACAACCAUAUGCCAAAAUAUAAUAUUACAUUUACAUUAUACACACUAAAAGAAACCUCAACCAUACAAAUUUAAAUCAAUCAAAAUUAUCAUUUUCCUUAUUUAAUCAUAUGUUUAGCAUAUCAAUAAUUUUAAAUUUACAAAAUAAAUAAGUCACUUUAGUCUUGAAUAAUAUAUUCAAACAUAUACUUGAUAAAUAAUACAAAUCAUUUUUCCAAAUGCAACCAUGAUACAAAUGCUUACACACAAUCACGCAAUGCAAUAUCGUUCUCGAGCUUUCACCGAAGGAUAUGCAUUUAUACCCAAAUACACUCCCCAUUCGGAGUCUUCCUGGGAUAAAAUUUUGAGUCUUUCACCCUAAGGAUCUCACUCCCUUCUUAACUCACCAUCUCUAGGGUCAUUCAAUUUCUUAUUUUUCUUUUCUUUUCAUUUUUGCCAUUUUUGGGGUCUUUUCAUUCUCAUUUCCAUUUCACACAACCAUUUCUUCAAUUUUUAUUUUUCUUCACACAAUCAUGAUGCAUAUGAAAUGCAACUGAAUCAUAUUUUAACAUCCAUAAUUUUCCAAGACAUAAUUUUAUUUACUCCCAUUAUGUUUCAUAAUUUCCAAUAAUCCACACAACGAUUUUUCUUCACUUUAAUCGUCACAAACAUAAAAGAAAAUUCACAAUUAAUUUGUAUAGCAUCAAAACAUAGUUUUAAACAUUGACCACAUAAAUUCUAUUUAUUCCCGACAUGCUUAAUAAUUUCCAAAUCCAAUAUAACCAUUUUUUUUUCAAUUAAAUAAUCACACAUAUCCAAGAAAAUUCUCGCUAAUACAAAUAUCAACAAAAAUGUAAUUUAUGUCAUAAUUUAUUUGUCUCCAAUAAUUUCAAAAAUUUUGACACCCAUAUGACAAAUUUCCACAAUUAAGCCACCCCAAUAUUUGGGAAAAAUUUUCCAAUAAUUCAAAUAUCAACAAAAACCCAAUUUAUAUCAUCAUUUUAUUUAUUUUUAAAAGCAUUAAUAAUUUUAAUAAUCAAUACAACACUUUUCCACAAUUAAGCCACCACAAAAUUUUGGGAAAAUUUUCCAAUAAUUCAAAUAUUAACAAAACACAAUUAUACCUUAAUUUUUCUUAUCUCUGACAACAUCAAUAAUUCUUAGUACUCAAUACAACUAUUUUUAUUUUUUCAUAUUUAAUCUUCUCAAACAUUACCAAAAUUCCAAGAAAAAUUUAUAAAUCACGAAAUAAAAUUAUUCACAAUAAUAAUCACACUUCAAAUACUACAAAUAACAUCUAUUAUAUUUCAACAACACAAUAUAUAAUUUUUUUUGAAAGAAAAUAUUAAAUCAAAGUUUUAGGGUUAAAUCACCCUACCUUAAAUUUGAAAAAUUUAACCAUUAAAACUAAAACGGGACACCGUAGGAGUGUUCCUCGCAUUGAAUAGAAUAUCCUUCCAAAAUUUUAUGUGAAAUGGACGUCAUUUGGUAGGUCCACCAGCAUCCUAAAGCUGGCGACCCAUUUUUCCCACUCUUUGCCGACGACUUCCCUACAUCUCUUACUCGAUUUCCUUUCUUCAUUUUCUUUUCUUCUUCUUCUUUUCUUCUUCUUCUUUUAAACUCCCACGCCAAUUUCACUUUAUAUAUAUAUAUAUAUAUAUAUAUAUAUAUAUAUAUGUAUGUAUGUAUGUAUUAUUAAAACAAAUCCUAAAAUACCACGCACAUCCAUUUCUCAAUAAAUUAAAACCAUUAUUCUUAAAUUCACCUUCCGUAAUUAUGAAUUAUACCAAACUUAUGAUUUUCCAUUUCACGAAAAAUACCACCGUAUUCGUAAUUUAAUUUACUACAAGUCUACUCUUCAAAAAGUAUAAUUUGAUUAUAAUUACAUGAAACAUUGUUUUUUUACUCUAAAAUUCAUUUAAAACAUGAUAUAAUUAACUAUUAACAAAAUUCAAUUCCAUAAAAUAUUAAAAACAUAAAAUAAUUUUUUGGCAAUCAAGAAGUUGAAAUUUGUAAUAACCCUAAACCCGUUAAUUUUACCUAUAUUUAUUUACCAAAAAAAAUUUAAAUAAUAUUCUAAAAUUUAAUUCCAUAAAUUAAUUAGUCAUUCAAUUUAUAAAAAUCAAAUUCUCUACCCUUUGGUAUAACUUUUAUUUAAUUUACUUCAUUUUUCAAAUUAUUCAAUCGCAUCAAAAUUUCAAAAGUUAAAUUCACUAAAUUCACAUUUAAUUAAUUUAUCAUUUUGUAUUUUUUUUUUUUCUAAAUUCGCAUAUCAUAAUUUAAUCUUAAUUUAAUUUUGAUUCAAUUUUGUUUUAGGUUUUCUAAUUUUAUGAGGUUUAAUUUCAAUUAUAAAAAUUAAAUUCAAUUUCUUUUUAAUUAUCCAUUAUCACAAUUUGAUAUAAUAUAAUUUUUUAUCAAGUUUUUCUUACUACGAUUUUUCUUAUAAUUAUCCAAUAAUAAUUAAAUUAAUUCUCGUAACAUAUUUAAUAUUCAAAUUUUAAAAACUUAAUCUCAAUUAUUUGAUGGUUAUUUUUUUUUUCUCAAAAUCUAAAUUUAAUUUAUGAAAUUCUCACUUCUUACAUCUGACGUGGCAAAAUUUUCAAACUAUUGACUUUUGACCAACUUUUCCUAAAUUUAUCCUAAUUAAAUACUAACACAUGGAUUUUCACCACUCUUUUUGAUCUUUUGACCCACAAAUUUAUGAAAGACUUUAUACUUGGAGAAUCUACAAAAACCUGGGUAUUACAAUUUCUCAGGUUGAUAACUGUCGUGGUUACGAAGCCACCACUUGAAUACUCAAUCGCCAUUGUAAUGGGCCUAGAUGCAAAUAGUACAUCAUGUUUCUUCAAAAGUUCUCUGCUAAUCUCUGGGAAAGUCGUAGGGACAAGAUGAAAUAUUUCCCAAUUGAAUACAUGCAAUUUCAGUGUUCAUUUCUUUCAUAAAGCCAAUGUAUCCACCAGAAAGUUGGCUUUUUGUUGAGUAAAUGAGGUAGAUAUUGCACUAGUGGCCAUGGAGCUAAUCCUGGAGGAAGUUGUAUCGGCUUGCUUUUGGUACUUGUUUUGGAUUUUAAUUUAGUGAAGAUGAGAAAGAUUGAUGUGAUGAAAAGCAGUAAGAGGAAGUUGAAAUGAGACAACACAUCGUCUGUGGUAGUAGAAGAAAACAAGGUUGAGUUACUGCUACUACUCUCUGCAACAAAGCCAUUUACACGUCUUUUAUGGCAAAACCAUGUUUGUCCUAUCUUGGGUCUGGAUGCACAUUUUUAAUAUUGGGGAAAUCAUGCAACCAAAUGUCACACACAAAGAGAGAGAAAAAAAUACGUUUUUUAGAACUUGAAAAGGUAAAGUGGGACAAAAAAUAUUAUCCAUUCUUGAACUCUAAAAGUAAAGUUAUAAAAAGCUUAGUUUUUUUUUUUUUGUUAUGUAUGAUUGCAUGAUUUCCCCCUUUUAAGAUUUUAUCUCAUAAAAUUUUUUUCUAGAAGGUUCAAAUAAGUUUGAUGAAUAUUGUUUAUUUUAGUAAUUUUAAUUUUAUGGGGUACUUAAAACAUUAGAAGUUCACAAAAAGCAACAUUUAUCAGCUACCUAUCUAAAAAGCUUGGCCUAAUCAUUGAAAUCCAAAAUAUAAAGUGACAACACACUUUUUAAAGCAAUUUUCAAAAUAGUUUUUAAAAACACAUUUAUUUAUGAUAUUUUUAAAAUAAAAAUCUCAAAAAUAACUUGUUUAUAUUACUUUUUAUUAGACAAAUACUUGAUCUUUAUAAGAUCACCCUAAUUAUAGAUUUAUGAACAUGUAACACAGCAAUUAUCUAUAUAUAUACUUAGAAUUAUUAUAUUUUAAGUUUUUAACUACAUAGGACAUCAUGAGUUUUUCCACCAUUUAUCUUAUAAUAAGUUUAUUUAAAUAUGAUAAAGGAUAUAUUAUCUCAUUUCUUAUUAUAUCUGAUGCUAUAUAUAUAUAUAUAUAUAUAUAUAUAUGUAACAAAUCAAAUACAAUUUAAAGAUUUUAAUUAACCAUCUAUUAGCAACAAAGCAAUCUCUUAAUCUCAUUCAUAAUAUUAGGAUAAUUUAGUAUUUCCUUUUAUAAAACACUAGCAUAUAAAUCAGCACAAAUCAUAUUAAGGGUGUAUUUGGUGUUGAUUUUAGAAAGCGUUUUUAGUAUUUCUAAUACUUGAAAGAUAAAAAUUUUCAAGUUUUAGAAAGAUCAAAAGCGCUUUUUAGAAUGACUAUCAAAUACAUGCUAAAUAUUACUUUUGGAUACUUAUAUUUUUAAAUAACUCUUAAAACUUUUAAGGCAAGUCUCUACUAUUCAUAUAAACCCCCUAUUAUUUUUAAUUCUUAGAAACAAAAAAUAAAGAAUAAAAACUCCAUUUAAACAUCACCUUAUUAUUUCCUAUUAUAAAAUAACACAAAUCAAAUGAAUUAUUUAAAAAUAAAUAAAUAUAAAAUCAAAGUUGAAGAGAAAAAACUCUUGUGCAUUAAAAAAACAUCAAAAUAAAUAAAUAAAUAAAUAAAUAAAACAUCAUCAAAUAAAUGUAAAAAUAAAUUAAUGUUAUGGAAAAAUGAGAAUAGGCAACAAGAAAAUAAGAACACAGAUUUACAUGAAAAAUGCUAGAUGGGAAAAACCAUGGAUAGAGGAGAAGAAAAUCCACUAUAUUAAAAAUUUGGUAUAAAAUGUGACAGAAUCAAGUGAGUAUUGUAUAGGCAUAAUCACUAUGACCCUAAAUCCUAUACAUCAUCGCAUAUGUAUGGUGUAUGCGAUAAUAUUUGUGAUAAUAAAAAUAUUGUCGCAUAAAAUAACUAUGGGAUGUAAUAUUUGUAAUAAUAUUCUUUACAAAAAAAAUAUUUUUUCUUUGCUUUAUUCACUUUGAUCACAACUUGAAAUAAGACAAUAAAAAUAUUUUCUUAAUUUUUGAAAAUUAAUUGAGGACUUAGAGCUACUUGUUACUGAGUGAAUUUGCUGAAUGGUGAAGAAUGUGUGUAUAGUAGUUUUGCAAUUUUUCAAACUUGUAGACAUAUUUUGUGAAGUCUUUUUCUCUUUGUAAAGCCCCAUUUUCUUUGUGUAGUUAUUUUUUCAAUAUUCUCUUUGGAAGGAAUUUACCAUUAGUUAUAUAGGUAAGAUUAAGGAAUUAAAUUUGGAAUUCUUAAGAUUUGAUUGCUUAAUUCAAAGAAUUUGGUUCAAGGGAAAUUUGCCAACAAAAUAAUAUUUAUUUUUAAUUCUAUGAUGACUUUAAUUAUUUGAUAUAAUUUUAUUUUGAAAGACUUGAUGUGGGGGACUCAUCACUUAUUGAGUCCAAAUUUUGUUGCACCCAAAUUUUUAUGAGCUAAGAAACCAUAAUUUUAAAGACCAAUUCAGUGGUAAGUGAAUCUGCUAAAAUCUUCUAUGUACAAAUGACCUCACUUCAAGGUGCAACACAUACAUGUAUUAUUAUGUGUAUGGGAUGAGUCUUGAAGUUAGUCUUCAUUCUUCUUUGAUUUUUUUUUCUUCAAAUAAAUAAAUAAAACAUCAUCAAAUAAAUGUAAAAAUAAAAUAUGUAUCGGUUAAUUGGAGAGGAGAGCUUUAAGGGCAUUUCUUCUAUGAAAUUCUAUGCUCCACGUACCAUAAAUUUGUACUCAACCAACAAAAUUACAGAAUGGGUCCAUGCACAAACAAAAAUAACUCAAAUGUAAAUAUCUAAAAAUGUAUAAAGUUCACAAUAGAUAUUCAAGCCCAAAUUUAAAUUUCAAAUUAGUCCAAUAGAUUUCAUCAAUCAAAAUGGGUCCAAAUUAGCAAAUAUAACCCAACAAAAAUAUCUCAUAUGUCAUAGGCCCUAAUUUAAAAUUUUCAAAUUAAUAGCCAAAAUAUAAGUUCAAUUAAUCAAACCCAAAACAUGAUAAAUUAAAAUAAAUCUCAUUAGGCCUAUACUUAAUAUCCCAUAAUUCAAGCCUAAUUUAAUAUAUAAACCUAAAUCCACAAUCAAAAUCAACCCAAUUUAUGCUAAUCCCGAUUUACAAUCAAAAUCAAACAUAAUUUAAUAAGUAAAUAACUAAAUAAAUUAAGCAAACUCAAAACACCCAAACCACUACAACAUAAAUCAAACAAUAAUAAAUAUAAUGACAAUAAUAAUAAUAAUAAUAAUAAUAAUAAUAAUAAUAAAAUAAAAUAAAAUAAAAUAAAAAAAUUUAACUCAUGUCGGAGCCAGUUUGAAUGUCUUGGGAAAGAAAGAAAAUGAGAGAAAAGUGAGAGAUGAUUGACAACUGACAGUGGCUCACUGGCGACGACUGGCUAGUGGUCCUACCGAUGGUAGUGAGGAUUGAUUGGUUUUUGGGAAAAAAAAUAAAAUGAAGAAAAGAAAAUGAGGUGUAAUAAAAAAAUGGAGAAUUGAGAGGAAGGUGGGAGAAGAAUGGAGAGAGAGAACAUAGAAAAUGAGUGAAAAGAAAUGAGGCUAGUUGGAGGAGGAAGUGGUAGUGUGUGAGCUAAAGUGAAGAAGAAUAGAAGAAGAAAAUGGAGAAGAAUGGGGAAAAAAAAUCCGCCUCCUUAAAUGAAGAGAGGUGGGUAGCCUAAAGAAGAAGAAAAAAUAAAAUAAAAUAAAAUGGGGAGAAAAUGAGAGGGGGUCGGUGGUCUUGUGAAUGAGGUGGUAUGCGUUAGAGAGAGAGAGUGGGUGGGGUUGUUGGGGAAGGUAUGAGAGAGAGAGGAGAGAGAAAAGAAAAAAAAGAAAGAAAAGAAAAAAGAUAAUAUAAAAUAAUAAUAAUAAUAAAAUAAAAUAAUAUACAAAAUAAUAAAAACUAAUAAUUAAAUAGUGAGUGGGCAAAAAAUAUCAUAUGUAAUCGGGAUUUAAUUUUAAGAGUAAAAUUGGGUUAAAAAUUAAUGUAAAAUAAAAUUAGGACAAAUUUUGGGGUAUACAAAUAUGCGCCUCUUCGGUAGAGUCCACGAGUAAAGCAAGUGUAUAUGUGAGCAAAACAAAGUGGGCUCUACUGAAAAACAAGACAAACCACCAAAUUUGUCUUAAUAUGACAUGAACUCUCCCAAAAAAAAAAAAAAAAAAAAAAUCUAAAACCCUACAAAAAUGGCCAAAACGGAAACUCCUAAGGUGCCUUUAAAGUUAUACUAUGGAUCUAGACUCCCUUAGAAAAGCCUCCAAAAAUGGCCCAAAAAUCGGUGUCAAAAUCGAGUAGCAAUCAGACCACUAAGGAGCACAUGAACGAAUGCAUACAAAGGGAAAAAAACCAUACGUGUACCAUACGAUGACAAAAGGCAUAAGGUAUCCAACAAUAUGACUGAUUCACGUGUUACGAGCUCAAAGAACUUUGUCAUGCACCAUGGAGGAAGGGAAACUCUAGAAUAAUGUGAUGAGGAAGUUAUUAGCACAAUGUAAUAGAGUGAGGAAAAAAGUGAUGAGUGCAAAGCUGUGAGGACAAGGUGCACAAUGCUAAUGAAUAUGAAAUGAAUAGCACUAGGCUAUAAUGCAAUGAAUAGCUCAGGGUUGUACCAUAAUGAACAAGUCAAGGAUGUGUAAAGAUGAGGAACAACUCAAGGUUGUAAUGCAAUGAACAACUUAGGGUUGUGAAUGCAAUGAACAGCUCAGCGCAAUGAAUGAAAUGAAUAGCUCAGGGCUGUGAAUGCAAUGAACAACUCGAGGUUGUGGAUGUAAUGAACAACUCAUGGUCAUGGAUGCAAUGAACAGCUCAGGGCUGUAGAUGAACAACUCAGGGUUGUGGAUGUCAUGAACAACUCAAGAAUAGGGGCACUGUACACCCAAAAUGGGAGAUCACGGUCUACGAUUCCAAGUCAAACCACUAAAGGGUGACCAAAAUGAGGGUGAUCAACUCACUAAAAAAGAUGAUCAAAAUGUCUUAAGGGAGAGGAGAUGCCCCAGAUGAAACUUAAAGGAAGUGAGUAGUGCUAAUGAAACUAAAAAAAGAAAAAAUGUCACAACUGAAAUUGAAAAAAUAGCAAACUUAGAUUAAAGUGCAAUGAACAACUUUGGGUUGUGGAUGCGAUGAACAGUACCUUGUUGUAAUGAAAUGAAUAACUCUAAGAUAUGGGCAUUGUACGCCUAAAGAGGGAGAUCGUGGUUUACGACUCCAAGUCAAACCACUAAAGGACGACUAAAAUAAGAUGAUCAACUUACGAUAAAUGAGAAUGCAACUAUCUCGAGAAAAAGGGUAUGCCCCAAAUGACACUCAAUAGUAAAAGAAUGACACAAAUGAAACUAAAACAAGAGGAUGCCACAAAUGAAACUGAAAUGAUAACAGACUCAGUACUAAUGUGUAAUGAACAACUUUGGACUAUGGAUGCAAUGAAUAGCACUGGGUUGUAAUGAAAUGAACAACUCUAAGAUGUGGGCACUAUACGCCUAAGAAAUGAGAUCAUAGUUUACGACUCUAAGUCAAACCGCUAAAGGGCGACUAGAAUAGGAUAAUCAACUCACUAAAAAUGAGGAUGCAACUAUCUCGAGAAAGGGGGUAUGCCCUAAAUGACACUCAACAGUAUAAGAAUGACAUAAAUGAAACUAAAAUAAGAGGAUGCCACAAAUAAAACUAAAAUGAUAACAAACUCAAAACUAAUGUGCAAUGAAUAACUCUAGGUUGUGGAUGCAAUGAACAACACUGGGCUGUAAUGAAAUGAACAACUCUAAGAUGUGGGCACUAUACGCCUAAAGAGGGAAAUCACGGUCUACGACUCCAAGUCAAACCACUAAAGGGCGACUAGAAUAGGAUGAUCAACUCACUAAAAAUGAGAAUGCAACUAUCUCGAGAAAAGAGGGAUGCCCUAAAUGACACUCAAUAGUUAAAGGAUGACACAAAUGAAACUAAAACGAAAUGAUACUACAAAUGAAACUGAAAUGAUAACAAACUGAUAACUAAAGUGCAAUGAACAACUCUAGGCCGUGGAUGCAAUGGACAGCUCAAGAAUAGGGGAACUAUUCGCCCAAAAUGGGAGAUCGUGGUCUGCGACUCUAAGUCAAACCACUAAAGGGUGGCUAAAAUCAAAAUGAUCAAUUCACUAAAAAUGAGGAUCUGAACAUCUCAAGAAAGGGGUUAUGCCCCAAAUGAAACUGACAAUAGAGGGAUGCCCUAAACAGACUGAAAAAAGGAGGAUGCCUUAAACAAACUAACGAAAAAUGGAUGCCCUAAACAAAUUGACGGAAGUGAAAUGCCCUAAAUAAACUGACCAAAGAAGAAUGCACUAAACAAACUCCAAGAAAAAAAAAGAAGAAGUAUGCGAUAUAGAAUCAAAAACACCUAAAACAAAAACAAGAAACAAAGAAUGUGGUUUACAACUAGAAACACCCAAAAGAACCUUAAAGAAGUGACUGGGAUAAUGAACUUAAUGAAAAUGGGGUAUGCCACAGUAAAAGACUCGGAAGUAUCAGCAAAUGGAUCAAACGACCAUGAAAUCAAUAGGAGAUAUGAUGAACCCAAAAAGGGCGUAUGCCCCAACAAAAGAACACUAAAAGGGGGGUAUGCCUUGAUAUGACGACUCACAAUAAUUAAGAAAUGGAUCGAGUAAUGAGAAAAUCUGCAAAAUAUCUUAUGAACUCAAAGAUGGGGGUAUGCCCCAGUGUAAAAUAGUGACCAACAUAAGACACAGAAUGUCACCAUACAAUACACUCUGGGAUAUGCUCAAUGACAAUGUAAUGAAAACAAUAGCCUCAAUCAACAAAUGUUCAAGCAAGACCAUGCAUCACAUAAACUAAAAUAAUAGGCUAAACAAAUGCUAACCAAGUCUCUCAAUCUGAAAUGUAAGCAAGUCAAGACAUGACAUGUCAACCAUCGACAUGAAAACAUCAUCACAAAUACAUCAACAAACUAAUAGUCCCUACUAUCAUGGAAGAUGUAGAACCUAACGUCCAAAGGCAUGUGAAAACUCAACCAAAAAGCUCAAGACUAGUUUGCAUCCUCCUCUAAUAAAAAGAAUGAGAUAAGGUCAUGUAGGAUGAUGAAAUAGGCAAGCUCAAUAUUCGUUAGGCUCUACCAAGAUGGAUGUAGGUAUAAUAGUGUCAAAGGUAGGAUGUCUAGAUGUCCAACGAAGGAAACUGGGUAUCCAAGUCAAACCAAGUAUGUUGAGGAAACUGAAGCCAUAGGACAAUAACUUUAUGAUCCAUUGAAAAUAGCAAUCAUGAAUAGAAGGUCGAGUCUCGAUGUCAAAAUCAACAAGGUGGCAUUGCCCCAGUAUGAAUACAUCUUCUCAAAAUGGGUAAACCCUCAGUGCAAGAUAAUCUCUAGAUAGUAUGUGUCUAGUAUAAACUGUCAUCUCACAAAAUCUAUCACUGAUGAGUGGGCUAUACCCCAGUGUAAGCAUUUCCAAAUCAAACAUCGAUGAGAGGAGUACAACCAAUCAUACAUAAUAUGAUCAAAACAAAUCUCCACUCCUCAAAGUCAUCAUGGUAACGUGAAGAGAGUAUCUAACCUCAUUUAAAGAAAGAUCAUGUCCCAAUGUGAAAAAUAUCAAGCAAAGUGGUAUGUCUCAACAAAAAUGCACUCUAACAUGAUCAUGCCUAGAUGUAAGCUGGUAUCUUUAAGAUCAAUCACCAAUGAAAGGGUUAUGCCCCAGUAUAGGGCAAUCUCUGAAAUGACUAAAAUCCGCUACAAGCUCUCACAAGUGUCUAUGUCAUGAACCAAUCAUCUCAAAAAAUAAAUAAAUAAAUAAAUAAAUCUAUCAACAAUGAUGAGAAGGUUAUGCUAUAAUCACAUCAAGAAAAUCACUCGGUCAUAUCUUGUACUCCAAUGUGAAAGGAAAAUAUGAUCACCUCUAAAGAAUGGCUAUGCCCCAAAAUACAUCAUCGAUUGAGAAAUAUGCCCCUACGUAAAGUACAUCAACUGAAAUAUGCCAAUCAUGCCUCAUGUUCCAAUGUGAAAAAUGACAUAUAAUAUUCUUUGAGGGAUGGUCAUGACUCAAAAUCCAUCAUCAGUUGAGAGAAGUAUGCCCCGACAUAAUGGUCAUCUAAAAAAUCAAUCUCCGACUAAGAAAUGUGUGCCUUGAUGUGAUGUAUCAAGCAAACUGGCUGCAUACCCCAUAAAAAACUCUCUAAGGUGGCUAUGCUCCAAUGUUGGAUCAUACCACAACUCCUGGUCUAUCACAAUCAAAAUGCUCUCCAACCAAUCCCAAGUAUCGCCCACAUGAGAGCUAUCAAACACAAUGUGUGAUGUCAUGGCCUCAAGGUGGUCUUAAGAUUCAGGACGUAACGUAGGCUAGGGUAAUAAGGUGAAGAAAUGAAGGAAAACUAGGCUUAAUAAUCCUAAUGAUAAAACCCCAUACCCUUAUGUAUAAAAUGCAAUAUGUGCAAAGAGUCUUAUAAACCAUGGAUCUAAGGACACCCAAUAUGAAUAUAUCAGUGAGGAAGAAAGAAUCUAAGAUGAAUAUAUCAAUGAUAAAAGAGAAGAAAUGAAGAAUAUCAAACUGCUGAUGGGAUGUAUAAGAAUGAUGUGUGGAAAAUAUUGAACAUGGAAUGUAAAUUGAUAUGAACAAAGAACAAUGUAGGCAAGGCAAAUGCGAUAUCAUGAUAAGAACAAAUAAAUCGAAGAAAAAUGAAUGAACACUAAUCCACUCAAAUCAAGUCAUGGAGAAUAGUCAAAUCACCAACGUAUGUAAUGAUGGAGAAGACAAUGAUUCGAAGUCCCUAGGAAAAUGUCACUUGUUUGUCACACAUAAAAUACAUAACGAGAUAGACACAAAAAUAUGAGAGUUUUUUGAAAGUUCACAUACGAACUUUCAUAAGCAACUAACUCAAUAAAGCAACCUCAAUGACCAAUAUAUACACUCAAUAAAGGAUGACACUGUAUACAUGUGUUUAUUACUUUUUCUUUUUCAUUUUUUUCAUUUUUGUUUUUAUUUUUUUUCUUUUGCUCGCGCAUACUCUGAAUAUCAAUAAAUGAACUUCUCUGAGAAUACAUAAUGAAAUGGAUAUACUCUCAAACAAUGAUGUAAGCGAACUCUCUCUGACAAGAUGACCCUCUAAAUUAAGGAUUUUCAAACUAACGUCCAUGAGAUAGGAGUGGAAGGGGAUAUGACCAUCCUCCCUGCACCGAAAUGUGAAAAAUCAUCACUCAGGGCACAAAAAAAUGUGAUGAAAAAAAAUAAAAAAUGAAACAAAAGAUAUAAACAAUGAAGUAUGAUGAAGACUGAUGUUGGGAAGACAAAAAAAUAGUGAAGAAUGUGAGCCAAUAAGUCCACAACUCAUGAAACUCUCGAAUAAAAUAUAUAUAUACACCAAAAGACCCUUAUCCCGGUGUAAAAUGUGAGCAAGGAUAUAAGAAAGAAAAGACUAUGGUGCUCAUGUGAGGUUCAAAGGGCUAGCAACGGUCCAAAUGUCAAUAAAGGUAAUAGGGUGUGAGCUAACCAAAAUGAAGGCCACCUAUGAUGGUCUGAAACAUCAUGCUCUUAAGCUUUCAAUGAUCAAUACUGAAAAUCGAUGUCCAUUUGAUAUAAACACGUCAACCCUUUGGAAUUGUGCGCCAAACCAUACUCCAAAUGCUCCAUAAUAAUCUCAAAGAUAAUCCUCUCAAAGCAAAGUAAAUAGCGAUCUCAUAAGGCACAACUACUCAUCACAAGCCAACUCUCAUCAUGCAAGAUCAAUCUCUAUUUUCAUGGAAAAAUAAGUGACAAUCUCAUCAGGUAAUCGACGAAUCCUCACAUCAUAAACCAACCAAAGAUCAUAAGUCAUUCAUUGCCAUGCAAGAUCAAUCCCAGACUCAAACUCCUCAUACUCUACCUGGUUGGAUUAGAGAAGAAAUGGGCAAAACUAGAAAAACUGAAGAUGGAAAGGUCAUAUAAUGGUGUCAAGGGUGAUGUUGUGCAAAACUCACAAUGGAUGGAUGUAGGUCAAAGCAAAGUCAAUGUGUGAGAGUGAGUAAGGCACUACUCUGAUCAUAAGAAGAUGGGUCACAAUCUCAAACUCCUAAGGUCAAAUCUCCGAUCCUAGGCUAAUAAGCUCAACAUCCUCCAUGAUAGGUCAACCCCCAAGAUCACAAUGUGCAAAUGAAUAGAUGCCUCAAGUCAAAAGUACAACACAUCAUAUGAUAUAUGGUCCUACGAUGACAAUCUAAAACUGGAAAUAUGUUAGAAACUCUAAGGUCAUAAACGUGUCCACUGUGAGAUGACUAUAAAUGUGACUAAGGAAUCUUUAUCAAUAAUCCAAAAAAUGAAUGAAGUGUGAAAAACAACACUAUCAUGAGAUCGAUACCCCAUCAAUAACAAAAUAUCUCUAAUUCACUUUCAAUCUAAACUCUAUAAAGAAAAACGAUAAGGUUAUAAAGGCAAACCUCUCAAAAAUGGUGUGAAUGUGAAAACAUGUCUUCACCUUUCUAUAAUGAAAAUAUCAUGUUGAAAAUAGAAAUAGGCAAAUCGACCAAAGAAUGAAGUACGGAGCCCAUGACAAGUGAAGAAUGUAAAAAGGUGAACAUGAUCAAUGAACAUAUCCCAAAACAUCAAGCAUAAAGUGACAACAAACCAAAAGAAUGUGUCAACUUAAGAAAAGAAGACUAUCUGAAGCCCCAGGGAAAAAGUGUGCUAGACUCAACGAGCGACAAGAAGAAACUAAAACCAUAUAGCAAGAGGUGGUCCAACUGAUACUCAAACUCGUACCAAUAUCUAAGCACUCUCGACUGGAGACCAAAAGAUGGAGUAUUGGAUCCAUAUUGUGACUAAAGUGGCCUCGAAGGCUCUCAGAUGCACCCACGUGUAGGAAAGGAAAUCCUAGUAAAAAUAUCUAAGGCUUAACCUACAAGGUCAAGGCGGCUCUAAAAAGAAAAAUUGAGUGGACUUUAAAGGAUUCCUAGCAAAAGCGAUCAUACCCUCCGAUGGUACGCAACCUCCUACACGUCUUGAAAUAUAUGGGAGUGAUUCCAUGCAAGGUGGUCAUCACCUCCACACAUGCACUAUCUCAUAUCCUAGAGGGUUUCCUAAUGAUGAAGACUCUUACAUCUCUCAACACUUAGUGGUAAUCUAAGGUGCACAGUGAAUGGUGUGGGUUCAUCCAAAAAUCCUAUCAAGCUAAGCAAAGAGAAAACACAUUGGUCACACAAAUAUCUUGAAAUAUAGCUCUAACCUAUACAAGUCUUCAAAGAUUGGACUCCAAUUAGCAUUAAUGUUUCGACCUUCUCCAGAAUGCUCCCAAACAUAGAUAUAGUCCAUCACUAAAUCCUACUCCGAAUCACUAGCUCGGUCGAAGAGCAAACAAAGUAAUAAGUCUCAUAUCAAAUAUGAGAUCAAGGGGAACAUGGUCACCCAAGACUAGGGAAUUGAAGUAAGGGGAUAGAUGUGUGUCCCACAUAGAAAAGCAACAUGCAUCACACAGAAGAAGAAUAGUCAUGCAAUAGACAACCAAGCAAAGAACAGGUAUAUCAUUCAUAUCUACACACAAGCUAAACAAGAAAUAGGUAUUUAACAAGAAUAAACAAUAUGUUGAGAUAAACAAGAUAAUAUACAAUAAAGAGAAUCAAUCACACCAAUAUGAAUGAGAUAUACAAAAAUGAGAAUAUACAUGUCAAGGAGAACAAGAUAAUCAUACAACAAGAAGAGUCUUAUGUUAAAGCAAGCAAGAGAAUCAAUCGAUGUAGUCAACAUGUCAAUAUCGCAAAUGAACAUAACAACCAAAUAUGCAUCAUAAAGAAAAAAUGGUAAUCAUGCAGCACACAGUCAUACAAAACAAAUACAAACAAACAUAAGCAAAUAAAUGUAAACACACAUGAUAACAAAAAUCAAUGUAUAGUAAGGCACAUGCAAUAUAUACAUAAAAUAAUCAUCAAGUCAACACUCAUAUACCUUAAAACAUGAAAAUAUACAAUAAAGACACAACGAGAGGGUAUUCACUGAUCGAUUAAUCAAACACUACAUUUCCCUUAACUCAAGUUCAAGUUUGAUCCUUUAAAUAUCCCUAGUGGAGUCGCUAUUUUGUGGACCCACAUUUUUCAAAUGCGUCCUUACACAACAGCGAGACUCAUUUUUUUUAUUUGGUGAAAAUUUGAUUUUGAGAAAAAAGACUUUGAGUUGUCACUUAUUUUUGUUUUUUUUUAAGGGAAAACAAAACAAGAAAGAAAACCUUGUGUGACUCCUUAUUUGGGAAAGACAUGUAUGCAAAAACCAAAUCUGGAUUCGGGGGUCAAGUUACCUAUUGGGAAUGUACGAUGGUGAGCUGUAGCACCUCUCUAAGCUCAUAUACGUACGGUCUCUACUAAACGAAUUAAGAGAAUUGUAGUAAUUAAUUAAUUAGUCAAGGAUACCAAGAAAAAGAAUCGCACAAAUGAGUACAUACAAAUCAUGAUAAAAAAAAUCAAAUUAUAAGAAUAGACAAAAUAAAUAACAAGAGAAUUGUGCAAAGUGAUUUAUUAAACUAAAUAAAAAAGAAGAUAUUAAAAAAAUUAGUUUUCAAGAAAUUUCAAAGGAUUUUAUUAAAAUGAUUUUGAAUUAAUGAUUUUAAUUUAUUUAUUUACAAAAAAAAGUCAAUUUAUUUUCUUCAAUUGAUUUGAUUCAAUUUCAUUUGUAUUCAAUUUUUUUUUUAAAAAAAAAAAGUUAUUUACACUCAUGGUUGUUAAAAGAAUUAUUAACAAAAUUUCAAGUUGACAAUAAAAAUGAUUUUUACUUGCUUUUACUCGAAAACAAUGAAUUUUUACAAUUUUAUUAACAAAAGCAUUUCAAUUUAAGAAAAGUGACUUAAACAAAUUAUUAAAAAAAUAUAACUUUAUCUGCAAAAGAAUUUUUAAUUAAAAAGAAAAAAUUUAAAUCAUCUAUUUCUAAAAAUGACUUUUAAUCCCAUUUUAAUUAAGAAAAUUUGAGUUAUUUAAAAAAACAUUUUUUGGACAAUUUGAAUAAAAAUUAAUUUUUGGGACAACUUUAUUUACAAAAAAAAUUUUGGACAAUUAUUAUUAAAAACAAAAUUUCAAAUUCUAUUAAAAACAAUUUUUUGGAUUUUUCCAAACACAUUUUUAUGAAUUUUUAUUAAUAAAAAACUUUUUUUUAUUAAGAAGAAUAUUUUUUGAGCUAUUAUUUUAUUAAAACAUGUUUAUUGAAUUAUUCUUCUUAUUCAAACAAAAUUUUUAAUUUGUUCAAUAUCUAAUUCUGUACACAACAAGUAAAUAUAUACAAACAAAUAUUUAUAAAAACCAAUAAAAAUAAAACCAAAUAGAAGUGAGAAAUAAAACAUGUUCUUAAACAAGCUUACAACAAGCUCAAUGUCUUCUUACGACUUUUCGAGUCUCACUUUCUUUCAUUAAAUUUUAUGCUCCACGUACCAUAAAUCCGUACUCAACCAAAAAAAUUGCAGAAUUGGCCCAUGCAAAAACAAAAAUAACACAAAUGUAAAUAUCUAAAAAUGAAUAAAGUUCACAAUAGAUAUUCAAGUCCAAAUUCAAAUUUCAAAUUAGUCCAACAAAUUUCGUCAAUCAAAAUAAGUCUAAAUUAGCAAAUAUAGCCCAACAAAAAUAUCUCACAUGUCAUAGGCCUUAAUAUAAAAUUUCCAAAUUAAUAACCAAAAUAUAAGUUCAAUUAAUCAAACCCAAAACAUGAUACAUUAAAAUAAAUCUCAUUAGGCCUAAACUUAAUAUCUCAUAAUUCAAGCCUAAUUUAAUAUAUAAACCUAAAUCCACAAUCAAAAUCAACUCACUUUAUGCUAAUCCCAAUUUAUAAUCAAAAUCAAACAUAAUUUAAUAAGUAAAUAACUAAAUAAAUUAAGCAAACUCAAAACUCUCAAACCACUAUUGCAUAAUAUCAAACAAUAAUAAAUAUAAUGACAACAAUAAUAAUAAUAAAAUAAAAUAAAAAAAUUUAACUCACGUUGGAGCCAGUUUGAGUGUCGUGGGAAAGAAAAAAAAUGAGAGAAAAGUGGGAGAUGAUCGUUAGCUGGUAGUGGCUUGCCGGCGGCGACUGGUCGAUAGUCCUACUGGCGGUAGUGAGGAUUGAUGAGUUUUUGGGAAAGGAAAAAAAAAGAGGAGUAAUAAAAAAAAAAAAAGAGAAAUGAGAGGAAGGUGGGAUAAGAGGGGAGAGAGAGAAUGAAGAAAAUAGGGGAAAAUAAAUGAGGCCGGCCGGAGGAGGAAGUGGUAGUGUGUGUGAGCUAAAGUGAAGAAGAAUGAAAGAAGAAGAAGGAGAAAAAUGGGAAAAAAAUUCGAGCCCUCUAAAUGAAGAAAGGUGAGUAGCUUAAAGAAGAAAAAUAAAAAUAAAAAAAGAAAAAAUGAGGAGAAAAUGAGAGGGCCAGUAGUCUUGGGAAUGGGGUGGUAUAGGUGAGAGAGAGUGGGCGAGGUUGUUGGGGAAGGUAUGGGAGAGAGAGGAGAGAUAAAAGAAAGAGAAAAAAAAACAUAAUAAUAAUAAUAAUCAUAAAUAAUAUAUAAAAUAAUAAAAAUUAAUAUUUAAAUGAUGAGUGUGUCAAAAAUAUUAUAUGUAAUUGGGAUUUAAUUUUAAGAGUAAAAUUGAACUAAAAAUUAAUGUAAAAAUAAAAUUUGAACAAAUUUUAGAAUCUACAAAUACAUUCUUUAAUCUUUCCACAACAUCAAUCUGAUCUAAAUGAAAUGCAAUAAAUUCUAAAAAUGAUACAAUCUUUAAUCAAUCCACAACAUCAACCCGAUCAAAACUCAAUGCAAUAUUGCUUAAUGGAGAGAAUCGUAAAAUCCUUUUAUGAGAGGAAAAAAAAACCCUUAACAGACCUUUAUGAGAGGAAAAUAGGAAAACAUAGAACUAAAAACCCUUAACGUAUUCAUGAGAAUAAAAAAAUCCUUAACACCUUAAUAAGAGGAAAACAAAGAAUUUGAACAAUCCUUAAUCCAUCAAAAGCUCUUAAUAUGAACGAGGGGAAAACAUAACCUUUAUUUUUCAUAUCAUUGAAUACAGAAUCUAAAGAGAUAGAAUUUUUAGUUAUUAAGGAUUUUUUUAUAAAUGUCUAUUGAAAGUUUAAGAACUUUUAUGGAUAAGUGUUAAUUAAGAGACUGAAAGGGUACUUAGGAUUUUCAACUAAAAAAGUUAUAACAAUAUGAAUCGUAAGAACUUAAAAACAUCACCCAUCCAUAAGAGGAAUAUGGAAUGAGAGGUUAUUUUUUUACUUAUACAACAAUAAACUUUUUUGGAAGAGGUUUUUCUAAGUACAAAAAGUUAUGAAUAAAAAACCAUUGUUACGAUGAGUUAACUAAAAUAGAAUUAAUUUAGAAAAUAUCAAUAAAGUUGCAUGAAUUAUUAUCAUGAGUUAACUUAAUAAGAAUAAAUAGUAAUAAAGUUAAUGAAGUGAAUUUGGAUUGGCAGAUAUAUUUGAUGAUAAGAUUUUUUUAAUAAUAAAAAAUUAUUAUGGCAGGAAAAAUAGGACAAAAUUGACCUUAUGAUAAGAUUUUUUUAAUAAUAAAAACAUUAUUAUGGUAUGAAAAAAAGGGACAAAAUUGGCCUUUCCUUAAUUGUACCGGUUAAUGGAAUAAUGGGACAUGCGGUGGUUACAAGCCACCCCAAAAGGUAGGAAGAAUCUCCAACCCCCAUUCUCGGCUCCCUUAUCUUUUCCCUUACAACCAAAAAUCAACAACUAUCUUAGAAUGUCCUUCAGUCCACCAAAAUUCAACAACAACAUUACAAUAAUGAAAACAAAAUUGAUUGAUCACCAGCUAACAUUAGGAGAUUAUAAGAUAAGGAUGUAAUUGCAAUUAUUGAAAUCACUUAAAGAGUAAAAGUUAGGAACAUGCUCACAAUAAAUAAAAUCACCUUAGAAUUAAAAAUUAGGGACAUGAUUAUGAUGAUUAAAAUCACUCGAGAACUAAAAUGUUUUAGAGAUACAAUAAUUGAAAUCAACUGAAAAAUAAAUUCGGGAUGUGAUCGCAAUUAAUGUAUAUAUAAACAACCAAAUGUUGAAAGGAAAAACUAAUGAAAUUAAUAUGAUUUUCUUUUAGAUUUCUCUUGACACCAAACAAAUGUAAGGAAGUUUAUAAAGGAAAAUUAGGUUUUGAUUCACUAAAUUAAAAUAAUAUAGAAAAAAGAUCUUCAAAUUUUAUAUAUCAGUUUUAUUUUUAUUUAUUUAAAAAUAUUUUAAAAUACAUAUAUUUUUUCAUAACUCAAAUAGUCAUUCCUCAAAUGCUAGUUUUACUUGUUAUGUUAAUAACACUAGUUAAUAAUUUUUUAUUGUGAGAACGAUUUAAGAUUAAUAAAAUAAGAAAAUUUUAAAACUAAAAAGACAUUUAAAACUUUAAAAUUAAAAAUAUAAAAAUAAAACAAUAAUUUUUCAUUUAGUAAAACACGCCAGUAGAAAAUAUAGAUAUAGAGAAAGAGUUGGAAAUAAAAUAAGAGUUAAUAUUUUAUUUUUAAAAUUUUAUGUUUUUUAUUUUAAUUGUAUUUAAUUUUAUGUAUUUUAGUUGUAAUUAUAUUUUUAAUUUUUAAAUUUUUUUUUAUUUUAUUGUUGAUGUAAACUAAUAAAUUUUUUGUUCAAUUAUAUAUAUAUAUAUAUAUAUAUAUAUAUAUAUAUAUUUAAAUUAGUGAGUAAAAACCCACUUUUUCUAAUUUAUAAUAUAUUUAUGGGAUUUUAUAAUAUAAGAAAUUUUUUUUUAGAAAGAGGAAAAAUCAACAUUUCAAUUUCCCUUCAUUAUUAUUAUUAUUAUCCAAUUUGGUUGAUUAUGAGAUUAGUUGGUAUCAUUACUAUAUCCAUUUGUCCUUAACCCUUCAUUAGAAUAGUAUUAGGAGUUGAACGUCAGUUGGAAUACAGGCUAUGGAAACAAAUCUAUCCGAUUAGUAGGUUCUUGUUAUUUUCAAUAUAGACCCCAUAAAAUAAAUAGGAGAUAUGAGAUAAGACUGUGACAAAAUUGGCGGUUACUUCCCGACACCUGGCUCUCCACAAACAAACCCAGUGAUCCAGAAAUUAAUUGGUACCUGGACACGUGACUACCAAACGUUCGCUCACCCACCAUACCCAUGGCCUCAUGCCCCAUAUAUUUCCACAAACCUAGCUCAAUUUUCAUAGCCACCUUCACUGUCCUACACUCACUAAGCCAUGGCCAUAGAUACAAGCCUCUUGCUUGAGUUUGCUGCAGCAACUCUACUCUUCUUCAUCACCCGCUUCUUCAUUCGUUCUAUCCUUCCCAAACCUUCCCGGAAGCUCCCCCCUGGCCCCAAAGGGUGGCCGCUCCUCGGCGCUCUUCCUCUCGUAGGUAACAUGCCUCAUGUUGCAUUAGCAAAGAUGGCCAAAAGAUACGGGCCUGUCAUGUUCUUGAAAAUGGGCACUAACAGCAUGGUGGUGGCCUCAACUCCCGAGGCGGCUCGGGCUUUCCUUAAAACGCUAGACAUUAAUUUCUCUAGCCGCCCGCCUAAUGCCGGUGCCACACUCUUGGCCUAUCAUGCCCAAGACAUGGUUUUUGCGGAUUAUGGGGCAAGGUGGAAGCUACUGAGAAAGCUAAGCAACUUACACAUGCUUGGUGGAAGGCUCUUGAGGACUGGUCUCAGGUCCGAGCUGUUGAGCUAGGCCACAUGCUUCGAGCCAUGCUUGAGUUGAGCCAGCGAGCGGAGCCGGUGGUGGUGCCGGAGAUGUUAACUUUUUCCAUGGCCAACAUGAUAGGGCAAGUGAUACUAAGCCGCCGGGUGUUUGAAACAAAAGGGUCGGAGUCAAAUGAGUUCAAGGACAUGGUGGUGGAGCUCAUGACCACUGCUGGGUACUUCAAUAUUGGCGAUUUUAUUCCGUCCAUCGCAUGGCUGGACAUCCAAGGGAUCGAGCGCGGGAUGAAGCAUUUACAUAAGAAGUUCGACAAGUUAUUGACAAGGAUGAUAGAGGAGCACACGGCAUCAGCCCAUGAGCGCAAGGGAAACCCAGAUUUUCUGGACGUAGUCAUGGGCCAUCAAGGAAAUUCUACAGGGGAGAAGCUCACCCUUACCAACAUUAAGGCGCUCCUCCUGGUAUGCAUAGUUAAAGCUUGUCUUUAAUUUUGUUUUCCGAUAUUUUCUUUCCGGAAACAGCACUUUUAUUGCUUUUAUAUCAGGUAGCCAUUUUAGGGGCACAUCACUGUUCUUUAUUUGCAUUUUUUUUUGUCUUUUUUCACUUGCAUGGUUGUUUUCAUAUGCUCAGCUGCAUGGCACAGGAAAAUUGGGAAAAAUGAUUGGUUCUCUGAUCAGACCUUCUGCACCAAAACACACUUCUCUCUAUUUUAUAAAAUCAAGAACAUUUAUGGUUUACAUGAAUUUUCGAACUUGAACUUUUGCUAGGGCUAAUGCAUGGAUCUCAAUUUUCAAUUGCGUUUGAUUACAUAAAUUUCAAGUAUGUCACCACAUUUUUGUUUCCUUGGCUAGAAUUUAUUUACUGCAGGAACAGACACUUCAUCAAGCGUAAUCGAGUGGUCUCUGGCUGAGAUGUUGAAAAACCCGAGCAUCCUCAAGCGUGCUCACGAAGAAAUGGAUCAAGUGAUUGGAAGGAGCCGGCGGCUCGUGGAGUCUGACUUACCAAAACUUCCAUACCUACAAGCCAUAUGCAAGGAAAGCUUCCGGAAGCACCCAUCCACCCCAUUGAACCUUCCUCGUGUCUCAACCCAGGCAUGUGAAGUGAACGGCUACUACAUCCCAAAGAACACUAGACUUAGCGUGAACAUAUGGGCAAUCGGGCGAGACCCUGAUGUCUGGGAAAGCCCGGAAGAAUUCAGGCCAGAAAGGUUUUUAAGUGGAAGAAAUGCAAAAAUUGAUCCUCGUGGAAAUGAUUUUGAGUUGAUCCCGUUUGGGGCUGGACGAAGGAUUUGUGCUGGCACUAGAAUGGGAAUAGUGCUAGUUGAGUACAUUUUGGGGACGUUGGUACACUCAUUUGACUGGAAAAUGCCGGAUGGAGUUGAGAUCAACAUGGACGAAGCUUUCGGGCUUGCUCUGCAGAAGGCAGUUUCUCUUUCGGCUAUGGUGACACCAAGGCUUCACCAGAGUGCGUAUGCAGUCUGAGCUCAAGCUGUUCAGACCAAAACCCAGGCCUAGCUACUAUAUGGCAUGGAUUUGUUUCAGUUUCCUUUGGGUUAGUAUAACGGUAUAAGAUGUAUUAGCUCAAAGAUUGGGAGUUUCAUUCUACCACCAUGCCAUAUGCCUAUCCGUGAUCUAUAAAUUUAGCUUCAGUUUGGUUAUAGUUUCUAUUUUUCUUUUGUCUUCGUAAUCAGUAAAUAAUAGUAACCUUUAUAUAAAAUAUAGUAACUCUUGCAGCUAUUAUACCAUGUACAAUAAAAGUACAGUGGUUUUGGAAAAUACAAUGAAACAGUGAGUUUGAUUUUUUAUUUUUUAUUUUUUAAUAAAAUAAAAUGUUGGAAAAGAGAAGUAAAUAAAGGAAGAUAUAUUAAGAGUCUAUUUGACAUUACUUAUAAUGAAAGUGUUUUUAUUAUAAGUGUUUUCUUUAUUAUAAGUGUUUAAAAAUCACUUUGAUGAGAAUUUAAAAAAAUGAUUCUAAUAGUGUUUUUAAUAAUAUAUUAUAUAAGUAAAAACCACUUUUAAUAAUAAUAAAUUACUAUAAAAAAAAAGACAUUUAUUAUAAAAAGAAAAUAUUAUAAUAAACCAAAAACUUUUAUUAAAAAAAAUAUAUACAAAUAUUUAAUUGUUAAAAAAACUCAAAAAUUAUUUUUAUGAAAAUGAAGUGAAAGAGGAAGAGGAGAGUAAGAAGAAAAAAGAGAGUUAAAAGGAAAUGGAGGAUAGCGAGAAAUUUUAUUUUAGGAAUAUAUAAAAAAAAUUUGAAAUAUUUUUUUAAAGAAACACCUCUCAAGUGCUUUUCUAAAAAAACACUUCAAGUGCUUUUCUAAAAAAACACUUCAAGUGUUUUUUAAAAUUUUCAUAAGUGUUGUUCAAAAUAUUGUCAAACACAUAUUUUUUUUAUCUUAAAAAAGCAUUUAAGUGUUUUUAGGGCUAAAAGCACUUCUAAAAAGCAUUGCCAAACGAGCUCUAAAUAAUUCAUAUUUCCUUGAAUUUAUAUUUUUAUUUUCUCUCUAUGAAUUUUCCUUUAUUUCAAAUACAAAAUAUAUUUUAAAAGGUUAAUUUUAUUUACUUGUCUUAAGGUUUUUGUUAGAUACACUUAAUUAUCAUUUAUUUGAAAUUUCAUUAAUUAUCUUUCUUAUCCUUUCCGUUUCUUAAUUUGUCAUGUACUUGAGAAAGUCAAUUUCAUUAUCAUCUUUACUUCUUGAACCUUGACUUAAAACUCCAACUUCACACAGGAUAUGAUAUAAAUUAAGAAAAGACUUAUUAAAAGUAGUAACGUUCUACUUUAGUUUAAAAAUGUUAACAAAAAUUAGAGGAGAAUUAACUAAAAUAUACUGAAUUUUAAAUCAAGCUAACAUAUUAUAAACCAUUGGAAAACCCACGUGAUUAAAUAGCUUUCUUGUAGUCUGACAAAGGAAAGAAAUUACCUGAAAAGAAUGGCAAAAAUGGAACUGCAUCUUAUGACCUAUAAUCACAUGAUUUCCACACUUAGAGCAUCCAUUGCCAAGAAAGACGUCGAUCAUAUCACCUUAAUUUUGUAAUAAUUCAAUGCCUCUUUUUGUAAAGCCAUAUCAUAAAUAUAAUGAAAUUAAAAGACAAAUUAAUCAAUCAAAUAAUAAAAUUUUGAAAUUUACAUGGUAGUAGGUGAGGGAAUUGUUCAGUUAAGAAUGAAGAGAGACCACACUCGAGGAAAUAUUAUUGAGGGCAUAGAUGUUGACUUUCCAUAUUCACACCUAAUUAAAAAGGUGAUUAAGAAAAUAAACAAAAACAACCCAAAAAGAGUGAAAGAUAUAUUGUUAGGAAAGAUUGUUCAAAAUGAUCCCGAGUUAUAAAAAUGAACUCUUUCAUUAAGAUGACCUUUUUGAAUACUUUUAUCCUUCUUUUUUUUUUUUCUUGCCUUCAAAAUUAUAAAUCUUUCCUUUAUUUAUGUUAUUUUAUUUACUUUAUUAUUUUUCUAAUUUUUCAUUUAUUUCUUCUACUUACUUUUUCUCUUCUAUGAAGUCUUUCAUCUUUAGUUUAGUCAUGUCUUAUGAAGCUAAUUGUAUUUCCCUCCUUAGCUUACUCUCUAAGUUGUUAGUAAUCCUUGAUCUCAUCUCAUAAUGCACUAUCCCACGAUUCUUUCUUGCAGUCCAUUUUUAUUUUCAUUCAAGGUGUUCAUUAAAAGUACACAAGGGCUAAAUUUAAAUUAUAAGAGUUAAUUUCAAUUACAUUCCCUCAAGUUUUGGCUUAGAUACGCCUUACUUCAACUUAUUUGAAAUUUCAUCAAUUAUCUCUUUUAUUUUAAGUGAAAGGGGAGGUGAGUAUAAUUAAUAAAUGAAAAGGUAGGGGAUAUAUUUGAAGAAAUUUCAAAUUAAUGGGCGAAGGUGUAUUUAGCUUAAAUAUCAGGGAAAGCGAAUUAAAUUAAUCUUAUAAAAAACUUAAUUGAGAUUAAAUUCUCGUUAAGUAUCGUUACUUAAUCUAUCAUGAGAUUAAGUUCAAAAUCAUAAUAUAUAGUGAUGAGAUCUCAAACUUCAUAUCUUAACACAGUCAAUUGAACUUAUCUUGAUGAGUUUGAAGUCUCAAAAUUGUUUUGAGAUCCCUAACUAAAAAUAAUUGCUAAGGCCCUUAAUUUUUUUAUUAAAAUGUCUGUGAGCUUGAUUGAGAUCAAUUUGGAUUACUUUUAGAGAUUCUAGAGGAAUUUAGAAGAAUAUAUAAAGGAAAAAACUUAGGGAAGAUGAAAAGUGCUAGUUAGAGCAGCCUUCUAUUGCACCAGAAGAAGUGGGCGCACCCUUCUACUAUGUCAAAAGGACUUGACGCAUCUGUAUAAGUACGCUAGGAAGGAAAAUAAAGCAACAAGCCGGCCUUUGACUUGAGAAUUGGAGAACCCUCUCCCAGACUUAAGUGGCACACCUUUUAAGUGCGCCAAGGAAAAGAAAGAGUUGUGGCUCAACCCCAUCAAGGAUUGAUAGGCAUACUCCGUCCACUAAAGAUUAAAUGUGUUAGCACAUCUCUUAUCUCUCUCCAUGAACAAAUGGUGCAUUUAAUUAUACAUACACUGUAAGCAUUGGGCUGCCUAUCCGAUGGUGCAAUUCAAAAGCUGUGGCAUGUUUGGUCAACGUAUGAGAAGCAUCCUCUUGCAUCCAACAAUCUUGCAUGGGUGGGGCACACCCAACCUAAGUGUUCUCGAAGUUUGGAUGGUGUUGGAGCUGUUCUUUCCAAACUUCCAGCUUCUUCUUGUCUCACGUUCACCUGCAAUGCAAGGUUUACCCGGUGAAGCCCCGGGCAGACCCCUCCGAUGGUUAAGUCUGUUGGAGUGUGAGAAGCCAACUUCUUUUUAAUUUUUCUUCUUAGCUGUGUUCUUAUACAUCUCUUCACUUACCGCCGGGACCGGAGAUAAUGGGGGCAUUUUCACCACAUCACUGCCCACUUCGCCACCUUCUCAUGGCAGCAAGCUUUUUGGGCUAACCGCUCCCACCAUUUUUGGCGGCUAGCCCCUUCAACACCUUUCACAUUACUUACCAUAUUUCUUUCUGGGCCAGAGACUCUGUCUAGUCCUCCAAAUUCACCUCUUAAUUUUAAAUGCUUGGGCCCAGGCCCAUUGGUCCAAAUUCGGCUCUUAAUUUUUAUCCCUUGGAGGAGUGUUUUUAGUUUUUCUUCUUGAAAUACUUUGCAGGUACAAAACUGUAUGAGCUUUUUGUUCAUGGAGUUCUAUGGGAUUCUUCGAAAAUGAAUGAAAUUCAAUUUUAAAAGAAGUCUUUUGUUUCUUUGCUUGAGUAAUUUUUUACCUUAAGUUUAAUUUCCCUCGCAUGUUCUAUCCAUGAAGCACUAAUUCACUUUACUGUUGUGGGUUGAAAGGGGUUGUAUCCCUUGCAACUCAAUUUAGUCCUCAAUGGUUUCAAAGGGUAGCGGAUAGGGAGGUGAAGUUCAUGAUUGCAGCAAAUGCAUGCAUGUUGUAGCAUUCUGAGAGCCCUAAGCUAAGCAACUCCAUGAGCAUGUUUGUACCUUAUAUAUUUAGCUUUCACUUCCCUUUGAGGUUGAAAAUACUAGGUGUUACACGGAAAAACGAAAAUAGGCAAUAAGAAAAUAUGAAUAAUUUAUGUGAAAAAUCCUAAACAAAAAAACUAAGGAUAAAGAAAAUCCACUAAAUUAAAAAUUGGUACAAAAACAGAAAGAAUCCAACGACUAUUGUAUAAUCCUAAAUCCUAUACACUAUCGCAUAUAUAUAUGAGAAAAAAUAAAUAAAGCAGGUCCAUAUCGUAGGGGCAAUCCUCUGCACCCACAACAAAAUCAAUAAUGGGUUAAAGUAUAAUUUUUCUUCACCAUAUAUAUCAUACCACAAAUUUUUCAAGUCAAACCAAAAAACAAUUCAUAUCAUCAAGCUCUAACAUUAAAAAAAGAUGAAAACAAAUCUUUGUAUUAUGGUUAUGGGAGUAACUUUAAACCUUAAAAUUCUCAUUCAAGCUUUUCCAAAUGAAAUAUAUUAAUAUUAAGUUUUAUUUAAAUAAUCUAUUUUUCCGCAGAUAUAACGAUGAGUUGAAAUUUAGACUUAUUUAAUUUGUUUAUGUCAAACAUUCAAAUCUAAAAUACAUAUAACAAAAGAUCAUGGGAAUUUAUAAUAUAAACAAUUUUUAUGCAAAGGGCCAAUUGUAAAUAAUAGAAUACUAUUUUCAAAAGAGAUCCAAAUCAAGUCGUUGUUUUUAAUAAAUAAAUAAAUAAAAUUUUUGUUUCAUUUGGAAGAUGGUGUUAAAGAGCGACUGAAUCAAAUAACUUGCUCAACCGGCAAAGCUGAGCUGGUCAACUUGACUCGCUUAUAUAUAUACGUAAUUGGGGAAAAAAUGUCAGAUGAGGGGGCGGAUUAGGUCACUUGGGGGGUGCCGGGUGUAGAUGGAAGAAAGAAGUACGUAUAUAAUAAUAAUAAUUGGAGGGUUGACGUUGUCUUGAGAGCAACCGAUGAUGAUAACCCAUGCAGUAUUUUUGUCAUGGGAGAAUUAGGGUGGGGGUGGCCGUAAAAAAUAAUGACUAUGAAGCUCACUAUUUUAAAGGAAAGUUUUACUUUUAAAUAUAUUCUUUAUAUUAUUUAUAAAUAAAUUAAGAUUGUCAAUGAUGUGGGUCCAUAUAUGAUGAUAAGUACAAGUUGAUAAAUUAUGUGGGGCUCAUAUAUGAUAAUAAGUACAGGUUGAUAAACAAUCAACGGUACAUUUCUCAGCUUGAAAAAAUUGUUGUCACUUUUGAACAAUUGACGGUUUAAAAAUUUACUAUUUUUUUUUCAAAAAAAAUUAAGAUUUUUUAAAGAACCUUGCAAAAAAAAUAAUUUUUAAUAUCUCAUAAAUAAAAAUCAUAUCCUAAAGUUAUUAUGUCGUUUUAUAUAUAAAACAUACAAUUAAAAACUUUGUUAUCAUAAUAUAAUGAAUAAUUAUUUUUUAAGAGCACUCAUCAAUUGAAUAACAUAUAAAUAUUCAAUUGACUAAUACACACCUAUUAAAUGAAAUAACUCACAAUUAUUCAUGGGGUAAUAUAGCACGUGAAAAAAUUAAAUAAAAAUAAAUUAAAUUAUGUUGUAAUAUAUUGUAAUGAUAGUGUAUUUAUAUUGUAAGUAUAAUGCAUUUAUAUCGUACCUAUAUUUAAUUAAAAAAGUAAUAAUUCUAAAAAUGUUUAUUCAUACCCUAUUGGUAUUAACACAUCGUAUUAAUAUAUUAACAACAUUUAUUUAGUGUCUUGAAAUUAUUUAAUAAUUUUUUUAUAUAUAUAAACUACGUGAAUUCAAAUUAGUAUUUCAUUUGAUUUCAAAAAUUAUUUAUGAUAUAGGUAUGUUGUGAAAUAUGGUAUAAUCAUAUAAAAUUACAAUUUUAAUAAAAAAUUUCAUAAAUUUUUUAAUUAGGUUUUAUUGUAAUGUAAGUGUAUUUAUAUUGUAAUUAUAACAUAUUUUUGUUGUACUUGUAUUUUAUAAUAAAAGUAAUAAUCUUGAGGAUCAUCUUUUAUACCUUAUUAAUAUUCAACAUAUCAAAUAUAUUAACAUUAUUCACUCGAUGCAUUGAGAAAAACAAAUUUAUAUGAAAUUUAUAAAAAAAAAACACUAUGCAAAGGAAAAAAAAUCAUAUAAAUUUUUUAAAAUUAUUUUAUUAUAAAAAUAAAAAAUGAUUAAACAUUCUCUACCAUUUUCUUAUUCUUUUUAGAGAAUUUGAAUGAAAAAUUAAACAUUUUAUCUUCCUUAAAUUUAAUACAAAAAUAUAAUUUAUCAAUUUAAAAUUAUAAUAUAUAUAUAUAUAUAUAUAUAUAUAUAUAUAUAUAUAUAUAUAUAUAUAUAUAUAUAUAUAUAUAUAUAUAUAUAUGAAAAAAUCAUCAUUUUUAUUAUAUAAUUAUAAAACUUAUUUUAAAAAUUAGAAUAAACAUAAAAAAAAAGGUAAAAAAACAAUAAAUGAUAUUUUGAAAAUAAUUUUUAAAAGUAUUUUUGUUUUAAAUAGUAAAUUUAAAUAACAAAUUAUAUAUAAUUGUAAGAGUUAAACCCAAAAUUUUGAUUUAAAAUUUAAAUAUUAUUAAUUACAAUAAAUAUAGGACCCAUAUACCAUAAAUGUAUUGACAAAUCAAGUGAAGUGCUUUAAAUGCUUUGAAUUUUAAAAGUUUUAGCUAAAGGACAAUUUUGGUAUAUUAAGCCUAUUAAAAUCCUUCUCAAGAAUUAUUAAAAUAUAUCACCCUUUCUAAUAAUUGUUCUGCCUAACCUAUUUUUAGGUAAUUCUCCCUUUUUUUCAUUCUCAUCCAUCUUCACGGGACUUCGUCUACCAAAUAUGACAAAUAUUAUAUUGUUAUAUUGAAUAUAUGUACUAAAAAAUAGAAAUGGGAUGAUGCACAUGGCCUGACGUGUACGUUAUUAAUUUGUUUUUGUCUACGUUUGUUUGUUUGUUUUCGUUUUUCUGUUUAUAUACGUAAAGUCAUUUUUUUCCUCUUCAUGGAAUUCUUUUUGAUGAAAAAAUUAGAGGAAAAAACACAGAUUUAACGAUAAAUUAUCCAUGUUCAUGACAAUAAGAAAAAAGAGUUUCACUAUAUAUAAAAUUAGGAUUACAUUAAAAGGUAUUUAUAUUAAUUAAAAAUAUGAUAUUAAUCAUAAUAUUUAUAAUAGACAUAUCAUAUCAAAUAAAUUAUCCAAUUUUUUAUUAUAUUAAUAGAUAAAUUGAAGUUUUUAUGGUAAAUUUAGAUUAUUUGAUAUCACAAAUAUUAUAACGUUUAAAAAUUAAUUUUAAUAACUAAGUUGUGUUUGGUUUAAAAACCAAUUUUUAGUUUUCAUUUUCCAUUUUCAUUUAUGUUUUUUCUUUUCUUAAAAAUAUCUUUGAUUAAGAAAAGUAAAAGUAGUAUUUUAAAAAAGUAAACUUAUAAAAUCUUGUUUGAUUUUAAGCUUUCGUGAAUGUAAAAACUUGUGAAAAAGUAAGCAUUGUUGUUAGUACUCUUAAAUAUUAAUUAAAUAUGACUAAGUGGAUGAUGUCUAUAUCACUUCUCCUGCCAUCGUCACCCAGUGCUCCAGAAAGAAACUGGAAUCUGGACGCGUGAUUAACAACUUCGCUGAUCGCCUACCAUUCCCAUGGCCUCAUGCCUUAUAUAUUUCCACAAACCUAGCUCAAUUUUCAUAUCCACCUUCACUGUCCUAUACUCACAAGCCAUGGCCAUAGAUACAAGCCUCUUGCCUGAGCUUGCUGCAGCAACUCUUCUCUUCUUCAUCACCCGCUUCUUCAUUCGUUCUCUCUUUCCCAAACCUUCCCGGAAGCUCCCUCCUGGCCCCAGAGGGUGGCCGCUCCUCGGCGCUCUUCCUCUUCUAGGUAACAUGCCUCAUGUUGCACUAGCAAAGAUGGCCAAAAGAUACGGACCUGUCAUGUUCUUGAAAAUGGGCACUAACAGCAUGGUGGUGGCCUCAACUCCGGAGGCAGCUCGGGCUUUCCUUAAAACCCUAGACAUUAAUUUCUCGAACCGCCCGCCUAAUGCCGGUGCAACACACUUGGCCUAUGAUGCCCAAGACAUGGUUUUUGCGGAUUAUGGGGCAAGGUGGAAGCUCCUGAGAAAGCUAAGCAACUUACACAUGCUUGGUGGGAAGGCUCUUGAGGACUGGUCUCAGGUUCGAACUGUUGAGCUAGGUCACAUGCUUCGAGCCAUGCUUGAGUUGAGCCAGCGAGAGGAGCCGGUGGUGGUGCCGGAGAUGUUAUCUUUUUCCGUGGCCAACAUGAUAGGGCAAGUGAUACUAAGCCGCCGGGUGUUUGAAACAAAAGGGUCGGAGUCAAAUGAGUUCAAGGACAUGGUGGUGGAGCUCAUGACCACUGCUGGGUACUUCAAUAUUGGCGAUUUUAUUCCGUCCAUCGCAUGGCUGGACAUCCAAGGGAUCGAGCGCGGGAUGAAGCAUUUACAUAAGAAGUUCGACAAGUUAUUGACAAGGAUGAUAGAGGAGCACACGGCAUCAGCCCAUGAGCGCAAGGGAAACCCAGAUUUUCUGGACGUAGUCAUGGGCCAUCAAGGAAAUUCUACAGGGGAGAAGCUCACCCUUACCAACAUUAAGGCGCUCCUCCUGGUAUGCAUAGUUAAAGCUCGUCUUUAAUUUUGUUUUUCGAUAUUUCCUUUCCGGAAACAGCACUUUUAUUGUUUUCCGGAAACAGCCAUUUUAGGGGCACAUCACUGUUCUUUAUUUGGAUUUUUUUUUUGUCUUUUUCCACUUGCAUGGUUGUUUUCAUAUGCUCAGCUGCAUGGCACAGGAAAAUUGGGAAAAAUGAUUGGUUCUCUGAUCAGACCUUCUGCACCAAAACACACUUCUCUCUAUUUUAUAAAAUCAAGAACAUUUAUGGUUUACAUGAUUUUUCGAACUUGAACUUUUGCUAGGGCUAAUGCAUGGAUCUCAAUUUUCAAUUGCGUUUGAUUACAUAAAUUUCAAGUAUGUCACCAUAUUUUUGUUUCCUUGGCUAGAAUUUAUUUACUGCAGGAACAGACACUUCAUCAAGCGUAAUCGAGUGGUCUCUGGCUGAGAUGUUGAAAAACCCGAGCAUCCUCAAGCGUGCUCACGAAGAAAUGGAUCAAGUGAUUGGAAGGAGCCGGCGGCUCGUGGAGUCUGACUUACAAAAACUUCCAUAC
RNAcentral lists this long non-coding RNA (50332 nucleotides) under Vitis vinifera (wine grape). RNAcentral describes it as "long non-coding RNA (VVIN_LNC001898)". The record is from RNAcentral. Lineage: Eukaryota; Viridiplantae; Streptophyta; Magnoliopsida; Vitales; Vitaceae.